RNAcentral lists this long non-coding RNA (88058 nucleotides) under Sorghum bicolor (sorghum). RNAcentral's name for it is "long non-coding RNA (SBIC_LNC000116)". The stretch from base 74323 to 74545 matches the Rfam family "MIR167 microRNA precursor family". Lineage: Eukaryota; Viridiplantae; Streptophyta; Magnoliopsida; Poales; Poaceae. The record is from RNAcentral.
AGAUGGGGCUUCUUGGUUUUUGUUCGAGGGAGGGCGAAGGGGUAGGCAAAACCGAUGUUGCCAUCUCUGAAUCGAUGUAGGGCAUGAGCAAGCGUUAUGGAUACCACGCGGUAUUCAAUCAGGUGUCUUUCCAAUACCCAAUUCUAGCGACAUCCAAACAGCAAUAUUGGCGGCCAACAGUUCCAAAUCAUCGAUUCCAGGCUCCAAUUUAGACGUCCAAACAGGGUGUAAAGUCUAGAUGUAUCAUUGUUCUAGGAUAGGGGAAAUACGUGAUAUUUUUGAAGAAAAUAAGCUAGUUUCACCGAAGGUAGUAAUACGGAUAUAUAUAAUAAAUAAACAGAAAUCAACAUGAACAGUUGUACUCCCUAGCUUGCUUCAAAAUAAAGCUAGCUUAUACAAUAUUGUGUCGAAGCCUUGUUUGAGGCAAAUUAAACAUCAUUUUCUGUCUGGAAUUAGAUACACUAUGAACAUUAGCUAUAUCAUAUUCUAUUUCUACCACGCCUCCUCAGUCGUGCACGAGGAGAAUCAAUUCCAUCAAGGAAUCGAUAUAUACCGCUAUACGCGAAACCCCAAAGUCCUAACAAGCCAACUCCAAAUUCUAUGAACUUAGGAAGCAAGUCUGGUCUUCCAGGUCUAAUGUACUCGCGUUGAAAAUAGCACACUGCGGUGCUACCAAAAAGAAAUAGAAACUCCCAAGUAACUUUAUGGAGCGAAUUUGCAUCUGGAUCCCCAAUUCGAGGCAUCCUAAACCUUGUCCUUGAUGACCUGCACACAUCAUUAAGCAAAGCCUGUGAUGAGAUAUAUAACCUCACCAAAAAAAGUUAAGAUAUAAUUCCAUGUAUGGCCACUAGAAAAGAUUAAAAUCUCCACUAGAAAAACUCAUGUUCCUUCCAUGCCACUACAUGCAAUUGUCCUUCGCCUGCUUGCCACUACUGUCACUAAGACGUAGUGGCUGAGUCCAUGUCCAAGCAAAAUAUAAAUACUCCAAUCUCUGCUCCAAUUUAGGUGAGUCUGGUUGCUUUCUGCCAAGGCAUCAGGGGCACAAUACGGCUGGGGCUAUGGCCGUGGGAUACCUGAGGACUUGGGUUGGGCGGUACGGUACGUACCUCUAGCUCUGGUGGCAAAACCAUGCACCGGCCUAGGAGUUCAACCAUUCAGGCUAGAUGGCCCUUGCAUCGCCAUGUCCAUGCCUGAUGUCGUCUCAAACUGUCGCUAUAUGUGUCUAGCGUGUGAACCAAAGUUUAUAAACAUCACCUUCAAAGUGGGUUAUGGCUAUUCGAUAUUUCUCACACUAAAGAAGCAUCCAUGCGGCCAUGCAUGAUGUUUUGGGGCUACGAACAGUCAACACAGAUUCAGGGGCGUAUAAAGUAUGGAUACACCAGAAUUCGAACUCCGCAAUCGCACGUAUACCUACCAAGAAGUGGUGUGCGGAACAAUUUACUCCAAAAUCAAAAGCACUACUAAUUCCGUGGCAAGAUCGUCAUCACACAAACAGGAACAAAAUACACAAGAUUGGGAGUUACGCAAAAUUACCGAAUAGAGGGGCGUACGUCCAGAGACUGGAUAGGAGAACAACCACUUGAAACGCUGGCGGCCUGCGUGCGGUCCGGCCGGCGGCAGCUCGAGUCGCCGACGCUUUCUUCUUUCUCCCAAACCCCUGUGCCCUAGCUAGGAUACGAUUGGCAGACGCCGUAUAUAGGCAGACCGCAGACGUCCACUCGGACUCGGUGACUCGCAAGUCUCGGACGCGCUUCGCGACAGCCGUGCAAGAUGGACCGAAUUUGGGCCUGCAUCUUGUAGGCCUCGUCAAAAAGGCCCCUGGGUAAGGAACUUUUGUAGCCAGCCCAACAGCAGCAGCAGGCUAGCCCAGCCCAUAAUGAACAGCCCAAUAGUUCUAGUGAUGUGUGAAACCCAUCUCGGGUGUGGAGGGCGUACAGGGCAAACAGGUGUUGAAGCUAGGGCCUUGUUUAGUUCACAAAAUUUUUCGUUUUUGGCACUGUAGCACUUUUGUUUUUAUUUGACAAACAUUGUUCAAUCAUAGAGUAACUAGACUCAAAAGAUUUAUCUCACAAAUUACAGAUGAACUGUGCAAUUAGUUUUAUUUUCGUCUAUAUUUAAUGUUUCAUGCAUGCGAUCAAAGAUUCGAUGUGACAGGGAAUCUUGAAAAUUUUUGCGAACUAAACAAGACCUAGUUUAAUUCGGGCUUUUUAGUUAUUUGCAUAGUUGAGAGAGAGAAAUGAGGGAGAAGCUGCAAUAAGCUACUUUUUUCCAGUUUCAUCCAACUUAUAUCUUUGUAAGAGGAGGGGAAGCUGUUUUUGGAAAUAAGUGUUUGAAAAAAAAAAAAACCUCACAACACGACGAAGCCAACGGAGGAAUCGACGACGAAGGCGAAGGCGGCGAACGCGGCAGCGCCCUCGACUGUGAUAGUACUACCCGAGGAAGAAGCGCGGGCGGAAGGCCGAUCAAGCGUGCUGACGAAUGGUGGCGCUGGCGGUAGCCGCAACGCACUCGUCCUCGCCUGCCAGCGUUGUGGCAUCUGCCGCGCCGCGGGUGGUUCUUCAACUACGUCCACCUCCCCGACCCCGGCCACCGAGGCGCCUGCGUCCAGGACGAACGCGGCGACAACGACGACCCAGCGGUGGGGCUGGCCUUGCUCCUUCACGCUUCCGCCUCGUUCGCGAGUAACCGCAAGCCGCUGCUCCGCCUCGCCGCCGUCUCGGCACCGCCGCUCCGCCUCGCCGCCGUCUCGGCGCCGCCACUCCGCCUCGCCGCGGUCUCGGCACCGCCGCUCCGCCUCGCCGCCGUCUCGGAGCCGCCGCCCCACGACGUGUCGCUCUUCGGCGCCACCUCCGCCUCGGCCGCCACCCCCGCAUCUAUCUCCGCAACUUCUCCCUCCUCAGCGUCGACCACGACGUGAGUUCUCCGCCUCUUCUAUUCCCUAGGGUUUCUACGAACGCGGAUUUGGUAGUUGGCUUUACUCUGUGCUUGUUGAUUUUGAAAAACUUACUUCAGUUUAACAUUGUCCAUAUGUGUUCUGAAUAUGCCAGGAAUGCUUGGCAUAAGUUGGGUGCUAUGCCUAGAGAAGAAGCUAUGCAAGAGUACAUCACAAUUGUUCAGGAGCUGUUCCCUAACUGGGAUGCAGGUGCAAGUGCGGUAAGUUCGAUAUCUCCUUAUUCACCUCACUCUUGCAGCAGUGUGUACAAUGAUCCUCGUGACAGUGUUGGCUUAUCCAUCACAUAAUAAUGUCAGAAAGGGAAAGAUGAAGAUAGCAUUGCUUCUGCAAGGGGCCCACGGGACCUCAGUUUGAUGUACGAGGAAGAGGAAGGAAAUGAUUCGUAAGUGGUGUUUACCUCAUGGGUGUCUUCUUCAGAAGUGUUUACGCUAUAAAUGUUACCUACCUUAGCCUACUGUUUUUAAUUGGAACAAACUUAAAUGUAUAUGCAGAGAACUUGGUGACAUCCAUGUUUCAGCGAGGGAAAGAGCAAAUGAUGACAUAGUGAAGCCUCUGUCAGAUGGUGUGGAAGUCAACGCGAGAGGUUUGUGUUUGCAAACUAUAAACCAUGUAAUGCUUAUGUUAUGCUUAUAAGCAUAAUUCAUUCAAACAUGGUUUGUAUAUGGUACUAUCUUCAGAUACUGAAGGUAGAUCUCCGUUGCACUGGGCUGUUGAUUGUGGCCAUCUUAGUGCUGUUGAGGCUCUUGCAAAAGCAAAUGCAGAUCUGAAUGCUAAGGUAAACUGGAAUUACUGUAUUCCUUUGUGUUCUACUAUUCAUGGCAGAUUUAUUUGAUGAGUAACGUGGAGCAAUAGGUGUCAGUCUAAUCAUAUAGCUGAAAAUGAAGUGCAUUCAGUUGUUUGCAUAUUAAACUACAUUAAAUAGAAAACAUGUUGUCUAUGCUCAUUAUGACACUUGAUUGAUUGAUGCUGUCAGUAUUUCAGCAUACCAUGGCACCAUAGAGCUUCAAAGUUCAGCCACAAUCUCCUGGGCCAUUAGAUUUUUUAGCCUAAUGAACUGAACUUAACUGCCUCUACCAUGUUCAGGACAAUGAAGGGCAAACAACACUCCCCUGUGCUGCCGUUUGUGAAAGAGAAGACAUUGCAUCAUGCUGAUCUUCAGAUCAAGGAUGAGGAUGUGGGAACAUAGCACAGGACUUGUGCCCUUCGAACUGGUAUUUUAUGAACCCGGCAAACUGACAACACGAAUAGACGGAUAUGCCAAGUGUCAUCUGCCAAGAAACAUGAUACCUUACCUGUAUCGUAAAGCCCAUACCGCACUUGGUCAUGUGCUUUUUCUUUAUGCAUGGGGACAUAUGGUAUAUCUAGUGUCUUUGUAUGAAGUGUGGGAAAUUAGACAAGUUGUUUGUCUCGACAUCUGCCGUACGUCGUUGUAGUAUUAGAGCUGGGAGAUACAUGUAUUGCUUUAGUCAGAAGAAGAAGAAUUGUGCUGAACAUCAAUGGUGUGUUACUGUUAGUGAAAGUAACUCCAAUCGUACAUGGUUCAUCAGUUUUUUUGGGCAAUUCGUGAACCUACUGUACCCUGUUAGUUGUUACCUUUGUAUUGGCCAUCUAUUGUGUAUUCGUGUGGAACUUAAUAUUAGAUGGGGUUGGAGAUGACAGUUCCAAAACCUAAAGUUUCUUUAAUGAAAAAUGCCGUAAAACAGACAGUGGGUCACGAUGAACUAAAUUGAUCUUGCAGUUGAUUGUCUGCCGUACAUUUUUCAUUUCUUUUGGCUGCGAACUCCUAUUUGAAAGUAAAGAAUCUCCUCCGAUCCUUCCAUAUCUCUGUGCUGGCUCGUAGCUCGUCGCGGAAUCACUAUCAACUUCAUCAUUGCUGUAAAGGAUAUGUAGUCAUCUAGCAUCUCCUCGAGCGAUAAUUUUCCGUCUUGGUUAACAUCAGCCUAUGCCAAUAAGCUUAAUCGCAAUUAAGUAAGAAACAAGGAAAGUAAAUCUAGUUGCUAGAUACGCCCUGUUCGUUUCAGAUGGUCAUCAAAAUCAGAACAGCGCACGCCUAUGCCACCAUAUUCUGAUUAGUGACUUCUUUCCUUUUUUUUCUGGUUACUUUAAGACUUUUUUUUUUGACACAGUUACUUUCAGACUUUGAUUCUUACGACAAACUUUUUGCAGACUUAUUCAACAGAGUUCUUGACGGGUCACUUUUCAGGAAGCUUAAUACUUUGAUGUGACCACCACCUUCAUCAAACACUUGGCAUGUCACAGUAGCAUAUGAGAAAUCCACUGUAGUGAGGCUCUGCUGCCUCUGCAGUACAGAGCGUGCUUCUUCAAAAAAGGAUAAAAUCUUGCAAAACCAUUUUUUUAAAAAAAAAUAUAUAGGUUAACUCUACUAUUUCAUAAACUUGUCAAAUUAUUAUUAGAAUGCUUUACUUGUGCAUAUCGGCGUCCAAUUCUCUGAACUUCUUUUCAGCUUCGGCACGCUCAAGAUCAUGGUCACCGUCGUCGUAAUGUGCACCGGAGAUCAGGCCAAUAAUCAUGUUAGAUUGGACUACGAGUGGGUGAGAAUCAGGCCAAUAAUAAUGUGCACAGGAGAAUAGGGCUUGGCACAGGUCAACUUCACUAGUAAAGCUGUUUUUUUUACAAAAUAGUUUUAUAAGUGACUUUCUAGAUGAAGGGCUUGUUUGGCGCAACUCAACUUCACUAGUAAGAAACUAGCUUCAUGAGUGCCUUUCUGGAUGAAGCUGAGCUGUUUUGGAAAAAGUGUUUGGUAAAAUAGCUUCACAAACUACAUCAUACAUAGUUGAGAGAGAGAAAUGAGGACUGCAAUAAGCUACUUUUUCCAGUUUCAUCCCAACUUAUGUCUUUGUGAGAGGAGAGGAAAAACUGUUUCGCCCAUGAAGCUGUUUUGGAAACAAGUGUUUGGCAAAAAAAACAGCUCACAACAGCCCAUGAAGCUGUUGUGAGCUGUACCAAACAGUCCCGAAGUUGAGCUGUUUUGGAGAAAGUGUUUGGCAAAAUAGCUUCACCAACUACUUCAUACAUAGUUGAGAGAGAAAUGAGGAAGAAACUGCAAUAAGCUACAUUUUACAGUUUCAACCUAAUUUAUGUCUUUAUGAAAGGAGGGGAAAAUAGCUUAACAGCUCACUACCUCCAAGGAUAUUGACAGUUUGACACCAUGGCAACUAGGUACUGGAGCCAUGCCAUUGCUCUUGCUUACUGCUCUCCCCCGUACACUGCUACAGUGCUACUUAAACCUCAGCGGUCUUUGGCUGCGGGCGCGCCGGCGCCAGUGCUCACCAUCGGUCAAGGCUGCCGGCGCCGCAUGCCUCGCCGCCAUUGAGCAGCAGCUGGCGUCGUCCUCCGCGCGGAGUUCCGGCGGCACUGCCGCGGCUGAUGUUGGAGGACGCCUGCGCCAUUUCCGAGCAUCCAGGGUCGGUCCCGACGAUCCCGCCGAGCUUCUUCCCACCUCCGGCUCCGCUCUGUAACUCGUACCGGGAUAGAAGCAGAGCAGUUCCGGCAGGUCGCUGAGGAACGCAUCCAAUCCGACGAGGCGACGAGUAGAGCAUGCUCACCUUCCUCAAGGCUGUCAUGCAUCUUCCACCAGCGGAUGGAGAAUUUUUGGAGAUAAGCUUCCUCCACCGCAGUCUGCUCGAGGCGCCGCCUUGUUUUGGCUGAUUAAUUGUAACAUCGUUGAAUGAUAGAUUCGGCGAAGCUCUGCGCUCGUCAUUAUCAUAGACGUCAUCUUCUAAAGAGAUUGGAUAAUUGGGUGGAUAUUUCACCUUUGUAUUGGAUUGGAUUCUUUUGCUGUGUAAAAUGGAUUGAAUGGACUCGGGCUUCUCGUAGUUGGAUAAUUUUUUAUCCAUUACCAGGUCUAUCCGAAAGUUGGACACACAUCUCUUCGGACUUCGCUUCUCUGAUGCUCUGAAAAAAAAGAAAGACUCGAUCGAAAGAAUUUUGUUGAAAAAUACUAAGUAUACUCUCUCCAUUUUAAAUUACAAGACAUUUUAAAAAAUUUAGAAACUCAAAACAUCUUAAGUUUGAUUAAAAUUAUAGAAAAAAUAUAAAAAUUUAUAACAUCAAAUAGUUAUAUUACGAAAAUAUAAUUAAUAAAAAAUCUAAUGAUAUUUAGUUAUUAUUAUCUUAUCAUAUAAAAUUUAUACAGAUUUGAGAUUUUUUUUAACUUUACAAGAUUUUUGGAAUGUUUAUAAUUUAGGAUGAAAGAAAUAAUAAUAAUAAUAACUUAGGUUUAUAGAAAAAAUAAUAGAUUAAACUAUUGAAGCUUGAAGCCGCCAUCUAAUGCCCCGGACGCCCCUACCACCCACCAACCAAUCUGACACUUGUAAUACUGCCUGUCCAUACAUGAGCCGCCACGUGACCUACGAAUUCAAAAGUUCGUUAAUGCGCUCAACUACCAGCAGCUAAACCCUGCCCACCUUUGCCACCUUAAAUCCCCAACCAGCCAGCCCCAAUCCAUCCCGCAAAAAGGUCGAGCAGCAGUAAGAUCUGACUGAUCUCGCGAUCUGCCUCCCUAGUGUGCUCUGUAGCGCGCAGAUCGGUGAUGCCUUCGGCGGCGAUGACGGUGGCGGCGGGGCUGGCGACGGGGCCGGGCAGCCGCGUGACGCGGUUCGCCAAGUCGACGGCGGCGUCGGUGACGCCCGUCAGGCCGGGCAAGACGCACGCGCUGUCGCCCCUGGACAACGCCAUGGAGCGGCACACGGUGCACGUGGUGCUCUACCUCCGCGCCGCCCCGGGCCUGGACCGGGAGCAGCUCAAGGAGUCGCUCUCCGAGGUGCUGUCGCUCUACCCGGCCAUGACUGGCCGGCUCACGCGCGGCGAAGGCAGCGACGGGGCUGGCACUGGCAGCGCGGACGCCGCGCACGCGCACCGGGGCUGGGUCGUCAAGUGCAACGACGCCGGCGUGCGCAUGGUGGAUGCCAGGGCCGGCGUCACGCUCGACGAGUGGCUCGCCACGGCGACCGGCGACGAGGAGAUGGACCUCCUCUACUACGAGCCCUUGGGGCCCGAUCCUUACAUCUGGUCUCCGUUCUACGUCCAGGUAUCCUUGACCAACUACUUAAUCAAUCUCAUCAUAGCUCAUUAACUCUGCUUGGUGGAAUUUGGUGAGCUAAUUCAGCAUGCAGCAGGAGCGCGCGUUCUGUUGCCUUGAUUAGUUUGAUGGCUCGGCUGUUGAGUAGAGUUUGGUUAUCCAGACAUUUCAAAAAUAUUAGAGAGUCGAAAGAUCUCAAGUUUGACCAAAUUUAUAUGAUAAGAUAAUAAUAUUUAUGAUACCAACUAAGUAUCAUUAGAAUUUUUUAUUAAUUAUAUUUUUAUAAUAAACCUAUUUGAUGUUAUAAAUUGUUGUAUUUUUCUAUAAUUUUGAUUAAACUUAAAAUAUUUUGGCUUUUAGAAAAUUCUUGUAAUGUCUUGUAAUUUGGAACGUGAGAGAUUAUUACUUAUUAAUUCGGUAGGAACAGAUCCAGAAUUAAAUGUCUUGUGCUCUUGUACCGUUAUCCAGUUGGGGCAUCAAUUGACUGCGUCACAUGGCUGCAUCACUGAAGAGUGAACCCGUAUAUGCAGGAGCUGCAGAUGCAGUAUAGGACCAGAGACGCGAACCUGAUAAUACAUUUCUGCUUAAUUAAUUUUCUUUGGUGAUCAUGUCUAUGGAUGCAGCUGACGGAGUUCGCCGACAAGUCGUACGCGCUGGGGCUGAGCUGCACCCACAUCCACAACGACCCCACCGCCGCCGCGCUCUUCUUCCACGCCUGGGCUGCCGCGCACCGCCGGACCACCAGCCCUUACCCGCCCUUCCUCCACGCGCCGGCAUUGGCGGUCUCCCCGACCUCGCCGCCCCCUCCCCCGCCUCUGCUCGCCGAGAAGGCCAGCGCCGUCUCCCCCGCCAGCACCGAUGCCACCGCCAUGUCCUCCGCGACGUUCCACUUCCCGGCCUCCGCGGUGCGCGCGCUGCUCUCCACCCUGGAGCCUGGCACCACCCCGUUCGCGGCGCUCGCCGCGCUCUUCUGGCUCCGGAUCACCGGCGCCGCCGACGGGGAGGGGGAGCUCACGCUGGCGCUGGACUUCCGCAAGCGGAUGUACGCGCCGCUGCCGUUGGGCUACUACGGCAGCUCCGUCCACUUCGCGCGCGCGCGCGCCGACCUCGCGUCCGGGCUGCCCGCCGUGGCCGCGGCGCUGGACCGCCACGUCGCCGGCGUGCCGGAGGACGACCUGUGGCGCGCCCUGGAGUGGCUCCACGCGCGGCAGCAGCAGGAGGGCGACGCCGCCGCGCCGUUCCAGAUGUACGGGCCGGAGCUGACCUGCGCGGCGCUGGACCACGUGCUCAUGUACGGCGCCGAGUUCGAGGCCGGUGUGCCCCCGGCCCGCGUGUCGUGCCGCGUGGGCGGGGCCGCCGGCGAGGGCCUGGUGCUCGUCCUGCCCGCGGCCGAGGGCGGCGAGGCGCGGGACGUGGUGGUGACGCUGCCCGCGGAGGCGACGGCCAGGAUCUGCCGCGACCCCGAGGUGCUCCGGCACGGCGCCGAGGUGGUGUUCGGGGCGAAGGCCGUAAAGGAGGAGUAACCUACCAGUGCCACGACGGAGCAACAAGAAUCGCUGCUGUGCUGCUGUUGCUGGUUCCCCUGAACUUAAAAUCCAUGCUCUUUACUUGUCUUGCAUACUCUGUAGCACUUCAUUUGGUUUUCAUGUGCCCUGUGGCCAUAUGUUUAUGGAUUGAUCGCAUUGCUGCCGUGCUGUUCGCAACCAUACCUAUCCGCCCAUGUGGAGAGUACUAGCAGGUUUUAAUACUUGAUCUGUCUGGAUUGGAAACCGUGUCUGCACGACUGCAUCCUGACUAUGCGAGUGAGGCGCUAAUUCGUUAUCCACCCCAAACCACCAUUGUUUGCAAGUUAAGGAAUCUCUGGGUUCCACAAACGAAGCCGGCGGCAGCGUUACAUCGGAUCGGCGGACGUGUACAUAUAACAUAUGGUCUCAAGUUUCUCAGUGCAUGUCGCUGGCGUCCCACAUGGAUCACGAAACCAUUCACCUUUACCAUGGAUACGCAGAUCGGAUCCGCUGCCCCAGCACCAGCUAUUCUUGGGGCGGCUUGCAUGUCUGCUGAUGUGUGAUGUGUGUGUUGAUGGCUUCCAACAGCUAUUCUCACGACGGCACGCUCUUGCACCAGGGACGGGAGGAAACGGGUGCCGAGACCCGAAAGAAAGGGAUCUACAGUACAAAACAACGCUCGUCGUAGCCUUUCCACCAGUGUCGCGCUGCAGAGCGUCCUGCGGUCUCCAUGACCGCCGCAGUCGACACCGCGGCCGUGGCGGGUGCGGGCAGGAGGCUGAGGGUGUUCUUCCUACCCUCCUUCAUCCGGGGCCACCUCAUCCCGCACACCGACCUGGCGUGCCGCGUCGCCGCGGCAAGGACCACGGAGGUGGAGGCGACCAUGGUCGUGACGCCGGCCAACGCGGCCCUCAUCGCGCCCACCGUGGCGCGCGCCGCCGCCGCCGGCCACGCCGUGCGCGUGCUCUGCUACCCGUUCCCGGACGUCGGCCUCGGCGAGGGCGUCGAGUGCCUCACCACCGCCGCCGCGCACGACGCGUGGCGUGUGUACCGCGCCAUGGAGAUCGUGCAGCCGUCCCACGAGUCGCUUCUCCGGGACCACCGCCCCGACGCCAUCGUCGCCGACGUGCCGUUCUGGUGGACCAACGAGGUCGCCGCCGAGCUCGGCGUGCCGCGCCUCACGUUCCACCCUGUCGGCAUCUUCGCGCUGCUCGCCAUGAACAGCCUGUUCACCAUACGGUCCGACAUCAUCCGGACCAGCUCCGCCGCCCCUGGGACGGUGCUGUCCGUGCCUGGCCUGCCCGGGAAGGAGAUCGCCAUCCCGGUGUCCGAGCUCCCGAACUUCUUGGUCCAGGACGACCACCUCUCCAAAUGGUGGGAGCGGAAGAGAGCGUGCCAGCUUGCUGGCUUCGGCGUCAUCGUCAACACCUUCGUCGACCUAGAGCAGCCCUACUGCGAGGAGUUCAGACGCGUGGAGGCGCGCCGCGCCUACUUCGUCGGGCCCCUGGGACUGCCAUCGCGCUCCACCCUGCACCGCGGCGGCGACGGCAACGUGGACUGCCUGGACUGGCUGUCCACCAAACCGAGGCGGUCGGUAGUGUUCGUCUGCUUCGGGAGCUGGGCCGACUUCUCCGUGACUCAGAGCAGAGAGCUCGCCUUGGGGCUCGAGGCGUCGGACCAGACAUUCCUUUGGGUUGUCCGCUGCCAUGACUCCAGCGACCAGUGGGCACCGGAGGGCUGGGAGCAGCGCGUCGCCAACCGUGGCUUGGUCGUCCGCGGAUGGGCGCCGCAGCUGGCGGUGCUGGCCCACCCGUCGGUGGGCGCGUUCCUGACGCACUGCGGUUGGAACUCGGUCCUCGAAGCCGCGUCCGCCGGCGUGCCGGUGCUAACGUGGCCGCUGGUGUUCGAGCAGUUCAUCAACGAGCGGCUGGUCACCGAGGUGGCCACGUUCGGCGCGCGCGUCUGGGACGGCGGCAGGCGCAGCGAGAGGCCCGAGGAUGCUGAGACCGUGCCGGCGGAGGCAAUCGCGCGGGCCGUCGCCGGUUUCAUGGACGGCGGAGAGCAGCGCGACAGGUUGAAGGCCAGGGCCGGGGAACUAGCGGAGCGCGCGCGCGCCGCUGUAGGUGAGGAUGGCUUGUCCUGGCGUGACGUAAACCGCUUGAUCGAUGAUCUCCUGCAGGCCAGAGCCUCAGGGUUGCCACAAGGGAAUUCCAUCCAGGUUUAAUUUGUUUUUGCGCAUACAUUGUAUGUAAGGCUAGAAAACAGAAUAAAAGGUGACAGUUUCGGCAAGGCAAAAUGUGAAUACUUCCAUUUUGGAAAGGCCAAGUUUUAUGAAUGCUUCCAUUUUUGGGAAGGCCAAGUUUUACUCUCAAAGCCCGUUUCGAUCUCUAGAAUGGGGCCUCGUUUAGUUAUACCGUAGCAUUUUUAUUUAUAUAUUUAGUAAUUAUUGUCCAAUUAAAACUAACUAGGCACAAAAGAUUCGUUUUGUAAAUUACAAAAGAAUAUGUACUUAGUUAAUAUUUAAUGCUCUGUACAUGUGCUGCAACAUUCAAUGUGAUAAAAAAUCUUAAAAAAAAAAUGGAUUUCGGUUGUAACUAAAUAAGAUCUUAGACUAUCUCCAACAAUCGUCACCCAAAAUACAAGACUCAUUGAUCCUUUAGCUAGCGCUACAAGUAAAAGGUUCCAUACCUAUUUUUAGUAUUCUCCAACAACAAGACCUAAAAGACAACACUCUCUGCAAAUGGGUCUCGAAGAGAGAGAAUACCCAAAUUUUGGUUAUGCCUCUCCUAAUACCCAAAAUGAGUCUUCUGUAUGGGUACUCUGUUGGAGGCUAUAAGUAUUGUGUUGAAGACCCAUUUUAGGUUUGGGUUCCGAAAUGAGUCUUCUAUUGGAGAUAGCCUUAGAUUGAAUCUAGGGCCCCUUGGCACAGCUCUUAGCCUCUGUUUCACUCUCAUCUUCCGCAAAGCUCUACCAAGUACUUCAAAUGCAACUGGAUUCUCGUGGGAAGCUCAAGAGAAUCACUUCUCCAUUUAUACUGUGAGUUAGGAGCUUAAAAACCGGUAUCCAUCGCUUUCCGCUGCUUUCCAUUUAUUUCUCACAAUAAUCGCUAUAGAAUUGAUUUUCACUUGCUCUUCACUUUGCUCUUCAUCAGAAUCACUUCUUCGAAGAAUAAGGAGUGAAGCUUAAGAAUUGAGAAGUGAAGCUCCACCGCCCUAAAUUAUAAUUCGGCUGCUGGUUUCCUAAGCAGUCAUCAUCAGCCACAGCAGCACUGCCUCAAAGUGCAACCGAGCAACGCUCCCUAUUUUUACUAUUUAUAUUUACCCGCUUGAUGCCCUCCUCAUCCAAAGCAGUUACCUGUUGUGUGCAUCCUUGGAACCGUUGGACAGCCACGACACCAUCAGCUAAGUGGAAAGAGCAUUAUCUAGCAUGCUUAUUCGAUGAUGCCAGAAAGAUUUUCAAUUCAGCGGACCCAAAUGGACCAAUAGUAAAUUUUAGAACAUCCUUGUCCAAAGUAGUGAAAUGGCUUGUGCAAAUUAUCCUGAUAACAUACACUUCGACCCUAGUACCGCACAUUUUUAUUGUCCUCUUAGACCAGUCUGAGCGAGAUCUUCAUGUCCAGAUUCACAAGACUUGAAGAUCUCGCUGGAGUCAAGCUUGCGCUAGGCUCGAGCGCGAGUCCACUCACCCCCUCAUUCGCGAGUAUGCUCCUCUGGUCAUCUCCUUCUUCACCCCGUCGGUCGCGCAAGCAUGCCCCUCCUCCACCCUCUGCUGCCCCAUCAUGGGCUCUAUCUCGCUCCAUACCAUCGCUGGCGUGGGCUUGCGCUGCAACCACGAGGAGGACACGGUGGAGCUCGGUGGAAAUCGAGGAGUGCUCCACGAGCGAUGUGUUGAGCUUGAAGCAGUGGUGGAGGAGGAGCUAGACGUCCGCGCAGAGGAGCAAGGUGGGCGCACGAAGGACCACCUCGCACGGCCUAGUGCCCUUCAACCUCGGUGAGGUGGGCGCACGAAGGACCAAAUCGCACGAGCUCGUCGUCCACCUUCACCGCGAGCUCGGCGGCUGGCGCAUCUGCUCGUCCUCCUUUCUUGUGAUUCAGCGACCCUGCUUCCUUCCUCUUCUACCUCGCCCGCUGGCGACCUUGCUCCCCUCUACCACCCCACUUGUGCGGAUCUAGUGGUCCUCCAUGGCAAAUUGGCGGUUGACGCAUCUAGUGCUCCUCGCCUAAUAGUCUCUCGUGUUGUGCCAAGUCCUACCUUGCUCACAAACCAAAGUGGGAUGGAGGAGGAGGUUCGACGACUAAGGUGGUAUCAUGCUCACAUGCUUGCCACCUGUUCGACUAAAAACAUCACAGGGUAAACUUACGAGUUCAAGGAAGAGGUGAUUUUAUACAAACUACAUCAGACAACUAAACACAUCUAUUCCUAGCACUUAGCUGGUAGUCAUGCAACCAAAUAUGUAUUGUUUGCAUUAGCUAAAGCUGACUAGAGCCUUGUUUAGUUCCGAAAACUUUUUGGCUUUUUUGUACUGUAACACUUUCGUUUUUAUUUAACAACUAUUGUCUAAUUAUGGACUAAUUAGACUCAAAAAAUUCAUCUCAUGAUUUACAGACAAACUGUAUAAUUAGUUUUUGUUUUCGUCUAUAUUUAAUUCUCCAUACAUAUGCCGUAAGAUUUGAUAUGACGAAAAAUUUUGAAAUUUUUUUGAUUUUUUGGAUGAACUAAACAAGGCCUAGAUCUAACCUGUCUUAAUUUUACUGGUUCGUCUAGACUAGCAAACCAACCAGACACACUCGUGUCUACUCCGUAAGUCCAAGUUUCAGUGUUUCAGCAGGAACAAAUACUAAAGCCUUGUUUACGAUUUUGAUACGGUAAUAUUUUCGUUUUAAUUUAAUAAAUAUUAUUCAAUUAUAAAGUAAGUAGUCAAACUAUAAAAUUAGUUUUUAUUUUUUUUAUAUUUAAUACUUCAUGUAUGUGUGCUGUAAGAUUCGAUGUAAUGAAAAAAUUUAAAAAAAUUUUAAUUUUUGGGCUGAAUUAAACAAGGCCUAACUUUGGCGAAUACAUGCAUCCUAGGUCUUGUUUACUUCUACCUAAAAACCCAAAUUUUUUCAAAAUUUUCUGUCACAUCGAAUCUUUAGACGCAUGCAUGGAGUAUUAAAUAUAGAUAAAAAUAAAAACUAAUUGCACCGUUUGUGGCAAAUAUUAUUCAAUCAUAGACUAACUAGGAUCAAAAGAUUUGUCUCGCAAUUUACAGGCAAACUAUGUAAUUAGUUUUUGUUUUUGUCUAUAUUUAAUGUUUCAUGCAUUUAGCACAAGAUUCGACAACGAUCGUGGAAUUGGAUUUGGGCUAAACAAGGCCUAAACAAAGUGUAGGGGCGCACCAGCGGUGGAAUGGUCGCAUAGUCCACCCAAUUUUUUUUCCUGGAUUCAUUUCUUUGCCCACGUCUACCAUCCAGUGUAGGGGCGCACCAGCGGUGGAAUGGACCCGUAGUUCACCCAAUUUUUUUCCUAAACAAGACCCUAGUAGAUAUUUUCGUUUCAAGACAUGUCCAGCAGACCAGACCCCACUUGCCCACAUCCCACACCUCUCUCGACUCUCGUCCAAUCCGCGCGCACGCCCCCGGCGACGGCGCAGCCAACCAGCGUCUCCCGUCUCCACUCUCCCGCGAUCCAGCUGGUCCCCACCCGUGGCCAAAAGCCGGAGAGCACCGGGCCACCACCGGCAAUAAAAUACGCUCGGGAAGCUGAACGGGGGGCGGCGGACGUUUCCAGAACUCUCGCCCGCGCCUUCGCGAAACUUCGUCGCCACAUCACCUCACCCGCUCCAGAUUAAACAACGCCUCCCCGCCCCACUCCCCAGCGAAGGCCUCGCGGCCACCUCUUCCAGAACCGUCUGGAAUGUUCGGCGCCGACGCCGGGCGCCCGCCAUACGUGGGGCCUCGCGCCUGCCCGUGGCGGUCCGCGUGUGCUUGCCUACUGGUAGAACGUCCCCCGACGAGGCGACGACGCCGUAUAUACCCGCCUCAAGUACAAAGGGAAAGCUACUCGCCGGGCACCUCAACUGGGGAGACUGUACUUUCCGGUCUCUGGUCCUUCACGCUCUGUACGUUCAUGCACUGUUGCUCUCACUCGCUUUCUUCUUCUACCUCUGGCUCUGGUCCUUCCUCCCCCUUCUCUGCCAAAGCUCUGCGUCUUGCCGCUGCGGUUUUCACUAAUUUCUUUCCCUUUCGAUUCGCAGAGGCUUCAGUUUAGACGUUCUCUAAUCGGGUAAGCUAACGUCGAUAGCUAAGAUUUUGCGAGCAUUUGCAGUCUACUGACAACUUCUUCUUCCACCUCUUUUUUUCGUUUUCGACCAACCUUUGGUGCUUCUUGAAUUCUCGUGCUCUUUCGACAUUCAGGAAGGCCAUUUUCAGAUCGAGCUAGUUCAGCCGAGGCGUUUUUUUCAGCCAAAGAUCGCCAUCUUUUGGACCUGCUCUUGAUUCGUUCGUUUGGAUUGUUUGAUUCGUUUCGACUUUCCUUUGCUCCUCUGCUCCGUCAAGCGGACCUCCUCUGUUUUUCGGCCAUUGCUCGGUCGCGUUUGUUUGUUUGUUUGUUUGCUUGUUCGGUUUGUUGGUGCGGCCAUGGAUCCCUUCCACGGCGGCAUUGUGAAGGAGGAGGAGUUCGACUUCGACUUCGACUUCACCGGCGUUUCUGCGGGGGACGCGGCGGUGGCGGCGGCGGCGUCCUCGUGGGCCGUCGCCUUGCCGGAGCUGCCCCGGCCGAUGGAAGGACUCGGCGAGGUGGGCCCCACCCCAUUCCUGACCAAGACCUACGACGUCGUGGACGACCCCAAUACCGACACCGUCGUCUCCUGGGGGUUCGCCGGCAACAGCUUCGUGGUCUGGGACGCUAACGCCUUCGCCACGGUGAUCCUCCCGCGCUACUUCAAGCAUAGCAACUUCUCCAGCUUCGUCCGCCAGCUCAACACCUACGUAAGUCCUGUCCAGUCUGUUGUUGGAUUUCAAUUCGCUGUUCAAUGCUUGAGCCGUCAAUGGCGGUCGAUCGCCGGCAUUGCAGGGGUUCAGGAAGGUUGACCCGGACAGGUGGGAGUUCGCGAACGAGGGGUUCCAGCGUGGCCAGAAGGAGCUCCUGAGAACGAUCAAGCGCCGGCGCCCGCCGUCGAGCCCGUCGGCGCAGCAGGGGCAGGCGCCAUCGUCGUGUCUGGAGAUGGGACGAUUCGGGCUCGACGGCGAGGUGCACCGGCUGCAGCGCGACAAGCGCAUCCUGCUCGCGGAGGUGGUGAAGCUGCGGCAGGAGCAGCAGGCGACGCGCGCGCAGAUGCAGGCCAUGGAGGAGCGCAUCACCACGGCGGAGCAGAAGCAGCUGCAGAUGACGGUGUUCCUGGCGCGCGCCUUGAAGAACCCGAGCUUCAUCCGGAUGCUGGUCGACCGGCAGGGCCUUGGUGGCCGCCGUAGGGAGCUCGAGGACGCGCUCUCCAAGAAGCGCCGCCGCCCCAUCGAGUACCACCUCCCGCCCGACGGCGAGAGCAGCGGCACCGCUACGGAGGCGGCGGUGAACGACUACAUUUGCGGCCUUCCGGUCGGCGUUAAUGGCGUGGCGGAGGCGGACGACGACGGGAGCCGGCUGGAGGGGAGCGGCGGCGGCGGGGACACGGAGAGCUUCUGGGUGGAGUUGCUCAGCCUCGGCCUGGAGGAGAAGCACCUGGAGGGCGGCGGCGGCAGCGAGGAGGGGAGCGGAGCUGACGUGGACGACGACGUGGAUGUGCUGGUGCAGAGCAUCUACCACUUGAACCCGAACCCGGGCAGCCCCAGUGGGAAGUGAAAGUUCCAGAACGUUCCAUAUUCCAGAACCCACUAUGGUCUAUGGAAGCUCCCAGUGGGCACUGCAAGUAGGCGAUAGUUUUUUAUCCGGCGCCUGACUUUUUGUCGCGGGCUGUGUGCAAGUUGCAAAAGUUGCGGUUGGCCGGUUGCCAAGGAAUGUUCAGGAAGCUCGUCGGACUACGAAGUUUCUAGAAGAUGGAGCAGCAAGGCUCCAGCCUACUGUACUAUCAGUGGCAAGUUAGAUUCUGACUAGAUCAGGAUGAAGCAAAGGCACUUUCCAAAUGUGGCUGAUGGUGCCAUUAUUCUGACUAGAUCAGGAAGAAGCAAGGUACAAAAACCAAAAACUUUUUUAAGAUUUCUCGGCACAUGUAUGGAGCAUUAAAUAUAAAUGAAAAUAAAAACUAAUUGUACAAUUUGCCUGUAAAUUGUGAGACGAAUCUUUUAAAUCUAGUUAUUUCAUGAUUGGACAAUAUUUAUCAAAAUCUAAAAAAAAAAACUAAACAAGGCAAAGACCUAAUACUCCUAUUUUUCUGAAGUUCUGAAAGGAUGUCCGUCCUGUCUAUAACUGCCGUUCCUCCGAGUGCUGACAAUUUUUGCUGACAAAGCAACGAAGUAGUAUGGUGACAUUGGAUGUUGUCAUGUGUUGAUAUAGACUACACUGUGGAACAAAAAAAUUAAUUAUUUUGGUCUGCUCUAUAAGAAUGUUAAAUUAUCAGAAUGCUUUUCAUACAACUCAUAUUUACUAGAGUAUUAUAUUGAGCAAAGUCCAACAACAAACACAUCUGAACAUUUAAAACAAGACAAGGUUUGCUGACGUGGCACUAGAGCCCACCUGGAGUCCUCUCAUUAUUUAGGGGUGUUUGGGACUAUUCUGCCCUAUGUUUUUUUAGCUCCGCUCCACGGUUUUUAGCCAAACAGCUUUAGCUCCAUGCACUUAGUUCGAGAAAAAAUCGUAGAGUUAUGAGAGCACCUAAAGAGGUACUCCACGAACUCCAGUUUUUUGUGGAGCUGCUCUAUGAUGGAGUUUGUGGAGCAGUGUCAAACACCCUCUUAGUCACUCCCAUAAUUUUUUAUAUAAAGUCGUAUGAAUAUAAAAUUUAUACAAAAUUUGUAAAGUUCAACAUGAUCUACAACUUUAGAUCUGAUAAUUUUUAAUUAAUAUAUUUUAGAGGCUUAAAUAUUUAAUUUAAAUUACCAUAUUUUAGUAUUUUUAUUUUGAAAUGACCUCAAAGUUGACAUAGUUUAUAUGAAAAUCAUAGUUACGAAUAAGAUACUCAAUUUUUAAGUUGACAAUUUUUCAUCUGAUAUCGUUUAGAGGCACACGUAAUUGUUUUAAGUUCUUUGAUUUGCUAUUAAUUUUAUUUUUCAAAUGACCUCAAAUGUUGACAUGGUCUACAUAAAAGUUGUAGCUUUUAACAUAAUCUAUAACUUCAUAGUUUAUAACAUUCCCUCAACUAUCACGUGGUUUGAUUAUACCUCUUGAACUUAAAAAAUAAGCUAAUGUUAUAUUCUCAACUCUUAAAAAAGUUCAAAUUAGCUUGUUUGCCCUGGUUUGAAGUACUUUUCAAGACGGUUUCAUAUUUUUUAGUUAAAAGAAAUCAUAAAUACCUGACAAAACUUAAACCAUGUAAAAUGUCUCUAAGCCUUUACAAAAUUCCAAAAGUUGCUAUAGAUAGACUGGGAUACGACAAACCCAAAUAAAAAUAUCUAGAGCUAGUACAAAUAUCUCCUAAAGGUUUUAAAGUUACAUUUUAUUAUAGAAUAUAGAAAAAUAUCUAAAAAAUUUCCAAAACAUUCUAAUUAAUGUCUAAAUGUAUUUUGAAAAUAUUUUGUAACAACAACAUGUGGCUGCUUUUUAAUUUUUUCUAGACACUUUUUUAUAGCUAAAUCUAAUUUUUUGAAGCUUCUAAAGAUGCUUUUACGGAAAAAAAGUGUCUAGAAAAAAUUGAAAAGCAGCCACAUGUUGUUCCCUCAAAUUCUUAGGCGUUGUUUAGUUCCAAAAAAAAACAAAAAAAAACUCAAGAUUCUCCGUCACAUCGAAUCUUACGACACAUGUAUGAAACAUUAAAUAUAGAUGAAAAUAAAAACUAACUACACAGUUUGCUGCCUGUAAAUCACGAGACGAAUCUUUUAAGCCUAGUUACUUCAUGGUUGGACAAUGUUUGUCAAAUAAAAACAAAAAUACUACAGUAGCAAAAUCUAAAAAAAAAAUUGCAACUAAACAAGGCCUUAGGCUUGACAGAGAAUACGUUUUCUACUUCCACUCACGUAAAGAAAGUAGAGGAAACGCUUUAUGACCGUCCCGCAAUUUUUUGAGUGAGCUUAAAAAAUGCAUCAAAUCCCACCGCCACGUCAACACAUGGGAACCAAUCGCACCACAUGGCCACGCAACGAGCACGACCCCGUUACCCACGCGAUUACACGAUUUUCAGGGUCCUUUAUUGCAAAAACAAGCAUCACCUCCGUUGCCAUCUCGCUCCCGUGACCCACCCCGUCGCGUUUCGGCUUGGCUUCCUUCUCCCGACGACCGCCGUGCAGGAGCGGAGCUCCCGCCGCUUCUCUUUUCCCCUUCCGAGAGGCCCGAGUCCUGAUCCCACGCUCAGGGAGGUGGUAUUUGGAGAUUAGCGAUGGCGAGGUGGCGGCCGGCGGUGCUGCUGGUAGUGGCUCUGGCGGCGGUUUUGUCGGCGGCGUGGCGGGCGGAUGCGCUAUCGGUGACGGUAACCGACACCGAGUGCAUCCACGAGUUCGUGCCCUACGAGGGUGACACAGUGUCCGGGAACUUCGUCGUCGUCGACCACGACAUCUUCUGGAGCUCCGACCACCCAGGCAUCGACCUCACGGUACACACCCGAUCCCCUUGUCCCCAGCCGUACUCCAAUCCUGCGCGGUUAAAUUUGAUGGGUGGAUCGGGGUUCGGUUGGGUUUAUGGGUUGUUUUGAUGGGGAUCUGGCCAUCAGGUAGAUUGAAUUGGGGAUCGGGUGCCUUCAUGAUUCGUGAUCCCCUGACGCGAUCUCUUGUUUAUGCACCAGUUUGGCGAUCUAAAAUAUCUUUCUAUGAUUGGCACAAGGCUUUUAUAUAGUUUAGCUUGAUGAAUUAGUAGUGUUCGCUGCUUAUAGGAGUUGAUUCAGUAAUAGGUUUUGCAAAGUUCGGACCUUUUGGGGAAUUUCAGCGGGUUGUCACUGCUUUGGUAUACGUCUGCUGCGGGUGCCUUGCGAGUAGUAUGGUUGGAUGAUAAGCUGUUUUGCUGCUGGUUACCUUGUUUGGAUUUUUGGUUUUGUGGGAAGGAGUAACUUUUGGGGUGAAAUGACGCCAAUUUCACUUCUUCCCAAUUGAAAAUAGUGAAAGGCCCAUCUGUACUUCCAUAUUCAGUUGCUAUGUUGUUGGCUCUCUUUGUUGGUUUGUGCUGCAAUUGAUGCUAAUAGAUGUUCAACUUUCUAGUCUGUCUUAUGAUUCAAUUGAGUUAACACUACCGCGGAUGCUGCAAUUGAUUCAUAUACCUCCUGGUCCUGUCUAGAUAAGCUGACAGUUGUGCCUUCCUGAUAGUUUGGACAUUUGUUUUGUGCUAGUAGUUUUACUGUGCUAUACUUAUUCUUUGCUUGGAGAUGCAUCUGUGCCUAUCUGAGUGGAAAGGAGGGCUUCCCUCUUGCCCCAUAUUUGGCAGUUUGGGCCUUUUUCUGUUGAACUUUCAGAUGUAUCCUUCUGUGCAGUGCUUUCACAUGCUUAGCACUGAAGAAUUCAUUUUUGAGUGGAAACCAUUUUUCUCUCUGAUUUUAAAGUUAGCAUAUCGUUUCUGUAGAAGGUACACUCUAUUUGGGAACAUUUUAGUUUAUAGAUUCGCAUAUGAAAAUAAAUCUCUCUUUGAGAGGAAGCAAUGUUUUGAUGUCUCAGAAAACUUUUGUCAAUUACACUGAAUGAAACCUAAUGCACUUGGGAAAAUAAUGGGUUUCACUUAUGGAAAAUUGAUUCUAUAGCUUUAAAUGACCACGAGAAUGGUAAAAUACCAUUGAAAGAUCACGCAAAUGUAAAAUACCACUGAAACAUCCAAACACCAACUGAAACAUCCAAACACCAACUGAAUCUAGCACUCCGUUACAUUUUGAUAUCAACGGUGUCAGCUAAGACAAAAAAAUACCCCUGAACACCAUGGCGCCAGAGGAACAAGCCGCAGCUUGAGCGCCCAGGACAGUCGGUCGCCACUGAUGCCGGCAGGGAAGCCAAUGGCAUCAGGCGGUGUCGCAGACCAGGCCGGUGGUGGCAGGCUUACUGGGCCCAGGCCGGUGGGUGGUCGGCGCUGCAUGGAAUGGGAUCAAAGAGGGCUGGUGGGAGCGGUGUUAUAGUGUCGAAGCAGGAGGUGUCAUACGAUUGCAGGCUCUUUACAGUGCUUGCGGUUGGGAGAUGAGGAUAAGUUUGGUUAGACUUCCGCACAAGGGUACAAUUAUCAUCCUUUUCCGUUGUGUUAGCUGCAAACAUGAAAACACGAUUUUUGUCAAUAAAAUCAAAUGGAGUGCUAGAUCCGGUUAGAGUUUGAAUGUUUCGAUGGUAUUUUUCCUUGCCAUGACAUUUUGGUGGUAUUUUACGAUUCUCGGGAUCUUUCAGUGCUUUAGAACUAAUUUUUCUUUUCACCUAUUGCAUUACUGAUGUUUUCAUUUGUUGCCCUGUUCUUCAUCGUUCUUCAUCUUGGAGUGCUCCUAUCGCCAAUCUGUCACCAAAAUUGAAAGGGCCUUGGCACUAUGCCAACUACCGGUCACCUCUUACUCCCAACAAGGCAACAAAGCAAUGAUGUUUGUUGCUUUUGGAAAUGUCUGAAGUGGUCUAAUGCAAUUACAAGUGCUAUUAAUAUUAUUAGUACUUCUAAAAUUAAUGCAAUUACAGUUUUUUGCGCAUGGUUGGAUGCUCUGUUCUGCGGGACGUUAUACGCUGCGAUUAAAACGCUUGUUGGUUUCGUGGAUCGGUUUGUGUCAGUUGGGUGAACCCUCUGUUCAUUUCAGCAUGGUUUCUUUAGGCUCGCUGCGUUUUGUUUUUGCUCUAUUACAAACUAUUGUAAUUUCGUUAGUGUCAAGUAAUGAAAUUUGGCUUGGCCAUGGUGGGAAAAAAGUACCUGCAUAUAUUUUUUUAAAUAUGCUCUGUGUGUGGGUAGUAAAGUAUAUAUUUGCGUUAUACACAUCAUGUUCUAUAUUAACUUUUUGCUUCUGUAAAUACAGGUAACGUCACCAGGUGGCAACACUGUGCACACAUUGAAGGGAAAAUCUGGUGACAAAUUUGAGUUUAAAGCUCCGAGGGGUGGCAUGUACAAGUUCUGCUUCCAUAACCCAUAUGGAGCGCCUGAAACUGUUUCUUUCUACAUUCAUGUUGGGCACAUACCCAAUGAGCACAAUCUGGCGAAAGAUGGUUAGUUUACUGCCUUUCUAUCUUAAGCUUCUCAGCACCUGCCUACUCUAUCAAUCUUAACCGUUUUGCAAACACUAAACAACCAUCAAUUCGUUUGAUUUUUUUUACCUUCAUCACUGUUCAGAGUUAUGUGUCAUUCGUCCAGUGUUAACACUUUAGCACUGCCAUGUGUAAACAAUGUCUCAUUUCUGUUGCAGAGCACUUGGAUCCUAUCAACGUCAAAAUCGCGGAGCUGAAGGAAGCAUUAGAAUCUGUCACCGCCGAGCAGAAGUACCUAAAAGCACGCGAAGCUCGUCACCGACACAGUAAGCUCAAUGGACUUGGGACUUGCAUGUGCUAUUAUUACAUCUCUGGAAUGUUUAGCACAUUAUAAGCAUUUAUUAUGCUAGUUCUUUUUUCUUUUGAAAAAUAAUAACGUCAAUGCUAACAGCAAGAAGGACCCCCUAUCAGUUAGAAGUCAGAACUCAUUCUUGUCAUCAUUUCUGAAUGCAUUAGAGUUAGAGCGCAACAAAUUAAGAGAUUAGCAUCCGUCUAUUCUUCACCUAUCUAAGUUUGUAUCUAGUUUUAUCAUGGCAUACUUAUUGAAUCAAUGUGUUCUUCAAUGUAGAGGGGACAACCAGAUAAUUUUGUUUAGGGGCCAUUUGGAUCCUUUCACUUGGAGGAAUUGAAAUCUACUUAAUAAACUAGGCUAUUUGGCUUGGAAUUUGACAUUCCAGCACUUUCCAAAGUUCACAUAUAAUAUAAGCCUAUCUCAAAUUCAUAGGGUGGGAGAUGGAAAUUGAUUCUAUAGAUCACCGCGCUAUGUUUUCUACUUUGCAACUUAUAACACGCUAUUCAACUCACUCCCCUACGGUACAAAUGCAACACAUAAGUAUCUCUCUCGUAUAGCCAACAAUAAUAUACAAAUAUAAUCCAUAUAGAACCAUAUUAGCUUAAUUAAUAUGUGUCUAGAUUAUGAUUAUUAAAAUGAAUUCAAUUCUAAGGAUCCAAACGGGGCCUAGUGAAAUUGUUCAACCUGUUCUGUUUUGCCUGCCUCUUUCAGUUUUACUUUCUAUUCAAGUAAAAAAAUGCCUUGUACUGAGAUCUCUAGAAAAUCUAGGAAACAAAUGUCUAAUUACGUAGCAGGGGACAGGACAUUAUGGAUACAUUUUCUUCUGUUGAUCUUUUCAUGUAUUUAUUGCUACCGUUUGAUGACAAUGCGGAGCUAAUUUUCAUGCUUUGAUUCCCAGCUAAUGAGAGUACCAGAAAGCGUGUCAUGUUCUAUACAAUGGCAGAGUACAUAGCUUUCAUGGCAGCUAGCGCGUUGCAAGUCCUCUACAUCCGCCGCUUGUUCAGUAAAAAUGUGGGAUACAACAGAGUGUAGGAUACAACUCUACUUCAAAGGCGACAUUGCAAGCACCACAUGGCCGGAACGGGAAACAUUCUCUGCCAAUUUGACAAAUUGUAGCUCUGCACCCUCUCUUUUUUCUUCUUCUUUUGUUAGAUUAUGAGAAACACUUUUUAAUUUAUAUCAUCGUGUACUUUUAGCAACACUUGUGAUAUGUUAAGUGCAUUUGAUGCUGAACAUAGUCCAUAAUUAAUCUUCAGAGGAUUGUUAUGAAAGUUAGUAUUGUUCUGCUACCGAUUUGAUUGUUAAUCCUGUGAUGUCUAUAAGAACAGUUAUGUCUCCAUGCCACUCUUAGGAGCAGAAGAGUGUUACAUCUGACAGUAGGACCGUGGUGACAUUGUGGGUUAAUUUUGUUUCGUGGCACCAUUUCACGCCUUAGAAGCCCUGUUUGGAUCCAUAGAACUAACAACUAGUUGACUAAUUUUUAGUCCCUAAACAUUCAAACAGGUGGACUAAGGCGGACUAACUGUUAUUCUACUAGUUAUGAACUAGUUAUUAGUUCACUAGUUGUUAGUCAUAGUCAUCCAAACAGGCACUUAGAUUGAACAUAACAAGUUGUUUAAUGGAAAACGUGUGUGUGUGUGUGUGUGUGUACCUAAACUCUGAACAGAAUUCCACCUCGCACUUGCAGUGCACAUUUCCGGGCAUCUGGCACAUAAUUAGUGUUUUUAACUAUAUAAAAAAAUGAAAAAUUGGAGAGGCAAUGGGAAUGGCAUCCGUAGCAUGGUCGACACAACUGUGCUAAUUUAGUUUAUAGUAUUCUUCAAUAAGAAUAGGGGUUCAAAUUAGUGACUCUAAGGUGGCGUCUUCAAAAUGGGUUUCCACCACACUUAUUUUGAAAAAACUGUACAAUUUGUUGAACCAAACUGGGUCACCAACUCGCACCUCUUGUAUGAAAAAUCAAGAGAUCGAAACCAAGCUGAACAAUAAUGUGGUCAAAUAAAACUGUGCAAUUCACAGCUAUACCAAGCCACAAUGCCACAUCACAGGCAGCAGCAUCACCAUGCCCCAGUUUCGACUCUCUCUCUAUUGGAGCAGUAGGGAAUACUUAUUUACUUACUAGAACUCCUGAUGCACAUAGAAGUUGUUGUAUAUGUAUAUCAAAUCAAAUACUUCACAAUAAAGUACACUAACAUUUUUAUUUGACAUUUGAGUUAAAAUUUACAUAGGGGAGUAUCAUUUGUUGCACCAUGACAGAGGUUUGAACUUGAACAUGCAUAUCUUUCUGGUCAGAAUAAAACUGCAGACCUUUGUUUGAUCGUAUUGCUUUCAUAUAAUCACACUCUUGGCCACUGUGGGCUGACUACCUGCAGAGUAAAUAAACAAAAUCAUCAGUAACGAGCAUAUCAUGUUUUUACUUAGCAUGUACAUAUUUGACGGUGCUGCUAUAAACCUCUAAUGUGCUGAAAACUAACUGCAUGCGGCUAGCAACUACUGAUGGUUCCUCUGAAUUUCCUGUGACAGCCAUCUGUUCCAGCUGCAAGGUUUUCACUGGUAACCUGCAGCGUCAAUUAUUUUAGGAACAUGUAUGAGAUUCUGAGAUAAAAGAAGAACAACGCUACUGGCAGAAGCUGCCCCUUACCAUGCCAUUCCUUUGACAUAGUAAGCGUUUGCGAUUAUAGCACAAAAUCCUUUCCACUGAUGCAAGACGUCAGCUGACACCGGUGGGUUAGUAGACCACCUGGUAACUGUUAGUUGUGGUGUGCACAAUAUUGUGAUGAACACUAUACUGAGCCACAUAAUGCACUCACGAAUCUGCAUAAAAGAGUAUCGCUGAGGCAAAUAAUGAAACUAGAGAAGUUCUUAUUGGGGGGGGGGGGGGGGGGUGCAUUUGCAUCACAAACAUGCCCACUACUGAGUUACAUGAUACCUUAUAAAAGCUUCAUAUCUUGCCAAUGAGAACUAGUGAGUGGGCUUACUCUACUGAAUACAAAAACUGACAAAAAUAAAGAUAUUGCGUAAAACAAAUCAAAGUGCAUUUUUUUCUAAAGCAACAGAUCAAAGCAAAACUGUUUGAGUUCGACUUGACUACAAAAGCUGCAGUAUAAAAAUGUAAAUGCAUAACAGAAAAUGAUACUGAACAGCAAUAUAAAAAAAAUGAUGCAGCACAUGAUUGUCAGAGCAUGCUAACCUCAAAGGAGUGGACUUUGAACUUCGAGCUGGUCCCCCCUAAGGACCCUAAGCCUUCAAUCUCUAGACCAGAAUCUUCAAGAUCCAUAAGUUCCUUUCUAAGCCCCUCAUCUGUACACCCUAGUGCAUAUGCGGUCACUCCAGCACUGACAAACUCCUGAUUAUAUCCUCAGAUACAGUAAUUACUAAUCAGCAAACCGAAAAAACUUCUGGCAAAUAUGGUGAAGAUUCGACAAGAAUCAAUACUUUUAGGUUUUCUCCACCUCCUCCUCGAUCAAUAAUUUUCUUAUAUCGCUUGAAUAAACUGAUCGCUAUGUUACGUGAUGAGCGGAAUUCAUCAUCGGGCGAAGCAUUAACAUGGAAUCGAUGCUGCAUACAACAAAAUGCUUUAAUAAGAGGGGAAAAAAACAGUGAUCAAAAUCACAAAAAGGAGGGCAAGGAAUACCAGCCAGUGCCUUGUAGUUCUUUUAUUUAAGCUUUUACACAGAAGAUGGCUGGUUCUAGUGAAGUUAACUUUGUGGCUGUGAACAAUGUGUGGCUUCUGUACAUGAUGGCCUUCUGCUGAACUGCAAACUGCACUGCAUCCUAAUUUACAAUGAAAAGCAGAGGCACUCUUUUCAGAGAGUUUUAGGUCCCGGCAAGAACUAGGCCUCACAAAAGGAACAGUUUCAUGUAGCAUCAGCAUGACUGAUUACUCAUCAGACUCCAAGCUAUAUGCACAUUCCUCUGAAAACAGGAGAGGACUCCAGAAGGCAAUUCAACCUACGACAGAGUAUGCUUUAAUCAAUCACAAACAAGAACUAGGAGCACCACAGAUCUUGCAUGCUUAAAUUAUGCUUAAUUAUAACAAGCAGCCUCCUAAACCAACUUCAGCGGCAUAUGAGAGAUGCAUCCAAACAUUAAAAUCAAGCAAAAUGAUUAUUCUUUCUCACACAUCGUGAGAUGCGUCGAAACAUUAAAAUUAAUCUUCAAAACAAACUUUUACAUCUCUUCACAUAAUACAAUUGCCUUAAUAACCCAAAAUGACACAUUUAAAAAACAAAAAGAAAUGAAAAAUAAGAAACACACCACAAAGCUAUCUGCACAUUCCUCUGAAAACAGGAGAGGACUCCAGAAGGCAAUUCAACCUACGACAGAGUAUGCUUUAAUCAAUCACCAAGAAGAAGUAGGAGCACCUCAGAUUUUGCAUGCUUAAAUUAUGCUCAAUUAUAACAAGCAGUCUGCUAAUCUCCCAAAUUUAGUGGCAUAGGUGGAAUGCGUCCAAAUCAAGCAAAAUGAAUACUCUUUCUCACACAGCGUAUCAUAAGUUAAAAGCAUGAGCACUGUUGCUGAAUGAACCGACCAAAACAUAUUUCCUAUCAAUAUACUGAAUACAAGAGAAGCAGAAAUUAUCCCAUGUUACUCAGCAAGAAAAGCUAAUUCACAGACCAUCAUGUUCCAACUUCCAACAACGAACUUCAUCUUCAUGCCUGCUUAAGUUUCAAAACAGACAUUUACGUCUCUUCACAUAAUACAAUUGCCUUAAGACACAUUAAAAAACAAAAAGAAAUGAAAAAAAAAGAAACACCCCACAAAGCUCUCUACUAGCAUCAUUCCACCCAGAAUACUUGAUGUCAGUUAACACUCAUUUGAAUACCGAUGUAACACUAAAUACCUGCGGGUUUAUAUUUCAUAAAGAAGCAAGCCAUGGUCCAUAGGAAGAAGAAAACAAAUCAGUAUCGAAAAAAAAAAGGCAUAUUCCCCAUUCAAACAACACAAUGAAAUAAAACUGAAGAUCCCGGCUCAUGAAUACUAGCCCAAACAAGCAACCUGCCUACGGGUACCAGAUGUCCAGAUCCCAUCACCAGGUACUCAGCUGAAACAAUCCGAACGCGAGCAACGAACUGCAAGGGGAGCAGGCCUCACUCACCUCCCGGUGGGGGGGCAGCGGCCGGAAGAUGGCUGGCGCCUGGCGGUGUCUCCAAGAAGGUGGGAGUGGGACGGGAGAGGUGGGGACGUGGAAAUAUAUAGAUACGUGGAGGGGUUAAGUGGCUAAAAAAUUUGGCGAGCGAAAUGUAAUAAGCGAGCAAGAAAUUCUCAAAGGCCACAAUAAAAAACGACUGGCAAGGCGCGCCGAGGAAAGCGCGAGGAUGGCAGCCCUCGGCCUGUCGCUGUAGCUGUCGCUGAAUCUUUCGAGAUGGGCCUGUUUGGAUGUUUAUGGUUUUUCAAGAUGGGCCUGUUUGGCUGUUUAUGGCCCGUAAAGGGGAUCCGUCUGGGCUCUUCCUUGUUCCUUCUGGGUCUCGGCGUCUCGCCCAUCCAUAAACCAUCCUGUGAAACUCACAGUCACACACAAGCUGCACCCUUGACUGCCCUAAAAUCUGUAUGUGCACAGCUCACACGUUUCUUUCAUUAUCAAAGCAUUAAUCGCGUCUACUAAAAAUAAGGUCAUGGAAUGAUCACUCCAUUUUCUUUGAAAUAAGUCAUAUCGUUUCAUGGAUCUUAAAAUGCCAGCAACCACAGGAAUAAAUGGAUAUUGUUUCAGAUUAACCAAGCAUCUGGAUGAGAGGCCCUGAAGAAUUUCGAUUGGUAUUUUCCAACAACAACACUCCAACGAACAAAUCAGAAGAUAUCUAUAAUGAUCACAUGCCGACAUGCGUAAUCUUUCGGAGUAUCAAACAGACCAAACAGGUCCCGAUCGUGUGAUGUUGCUUGUGAAGAAAGCUCUGGCCCAUUACAAAAAAUCGGUUCGUUUAUCUGAAAAAUUAUAGCUAAAAGUAUUAUUCGUUAAUUUAUUAAAAGAAAAAAUAUUAUUAAAUUAUUGGCAUAUUUAAUAAAUAAGCUCAAGUGGACAGGACCAAAGCCCUCAACUGAUCAGGUAAGUUUGAUGCAUGCACUUUGUGUAAGGACAAAGGACACGUAGGCCUGUCUGGAUUCUACUAUCCGGAUAAACACACACAGCUUCCCAACAGAGGGAACGGAGAAGGUGAAAAAUAUCUGAGCGUAAGAUUCUUGCAAUCUCAGGAUCCAUUGAAAGCUAGGAUCUUGUUUAGUUGCUGAAAAAAUUUAUAAAAUACUACUAUAACACUUCUGUUUAUAUUUGACAAUUAUUAUUUAACUAUAAAUUAAUUAGAUUUUAAAAAAUUAUCUAAUAAAUUACAGACGAACUAUAUAAUUAGUUAUUUUUUAUUUAUAUUUAAUGUUAUAUAUAUAUCGUAAGAUUCGUUGUAACGAGAAAUCUUAACAAGGCCUAGAUAAUGUCGGUUACUACUUCCCUUCAACGCGUGAAAAAGAUCGUGCUAGCCCCAUCUUAUCCUCUUCCACCGGCUCCUGCUAUCCAGCCGGAACCGGCCGGCCAUCAUAGCCACUACGCACCUCUCGGGUCAACAGGUUCGCCGCUCGGCGCCGCCGGCCUGACCCCAAUGACGCCGCCACUGCGCUCUGCGAUGCACCUCUUGCGAAAACGACGACGACGCUGCUGCUCCGCCCUUCCAGCGCCAACGACGGUGCUGCCACUGCCCGCCUAAAUGGCGCUGCCGCUCGCCGCCCGAGCUGGGCCGCUGCUGCUCCGCCCUUUUCCCUGAGUAGCGACGCCGCCUCUUCCCCCACAGACACGAGUCGGGCAUGAGUUAAGCUUGGUGGGCAAGAUCAGGUUAGGGGAAAAAAUCUGGGCAAAAGAAGGGCCAAAGAUGUAUGACGUGAGGGAGCCCUUUUUUGUUAUUUUUACUCGUUUUUUUUCUUGCAUCUUUUUUUUUGUGUGAAGAUUUUCUUGCAUCCUAUUCUGUUUAUGUAAACAUCAUUUAUAUAUAUAGAAUAAAUAUAUCUCUUGUAUGAGAAUAUUCAGUAUAUUAUUAUGAACAAUGCACCUAUUCUAACCCAUAAUCCCUGUUUAGGAUCUGGAUUACAUAUUUUUAUUAUCUGGAUCUAGAAUCUGGAUUCUAAAAUCCCUAUAAAGAAUUCCGAUUGCUAAAAUCUCAGUGGAUUUUUCCUUCUUCCUUUGUGUUUCAAAGUUUUAUGUUUAAAGUUAUUUCGAUCUCUUUGCUUUAGUUUGUAAUAAGAAACAACUACUUACAUUAUCCGAUGCAGAGACUAAGAUGUCAUUAUAUUCUAUUUUCAAAAAAAAAAAUCUCAGCGGUGUUCAAAAGGGACUGUGCGGUUAAAGAUUUUGAGAUAUUACUUGUAUGAUCUAAAAAAAUCCAUAUUUUUUGUAUGAUCUAUUUUUUAAACCUGAAAACAAAAACCUCUUCCUUCUAUACCCUAGUACAUCCUCUCUCUCUCGCACCAGCCUCUGCCCAAAUUUCAUCAUCACAGCCUCCACCAUCUCGGCCCGCAGCGAUCUCGCCGCCAGCCAUUCCGCCCAAAGCCCUCCCCCCUCCUCGAAAAUGUAAAUUGUGCUCCUCCACCUCUAGACCACCAACGUCCCACCUUGCCUUUGCCACGCUCUAGCGACCGCCACCGACGGUAACAUGGACUUCCCUCCGCCGGAUUCCAGCAACCCAGCUCCUGAAACACGAACCCCCGACCACCGGCCUCCCUCGGUCUCCCAGCACUGCAGGUUCUGAAUCUGGAAUUCUGGAGCGACCUUGACUUUAGCUGUCUCGCUUUAUGUUCCGCGACUUCCGGCCCCGUCCUAGACUUUCCGAGCCUUUCUCUGGCUUCUGUCGUGCAUUAUUUAUUAUCAGUGACCCUGAUGCCUGAUCGGUGCUGCAAGGCAAACUCCACUAGCGUUGUGGGUGGGUCCUUGGAAGAAACACAAACGGUGAUGGAUUCAACAAACCUUUUUAACGUGUCUAACUAUAAGCAUAGCUAGCGAGUGGCGACCAACGUACGUACAGUGACUAUUUUUCCUUCUGCAUUAUUAUGCUCUAUAAGUACUCUUGCUUCGUUUAACCCUAGACAAAAAACUUGUCCUGCUUAGGUGUUUGAUUUUGACCGCCAGAUUUGCUCCGUGCAGAUGAAAGUUGGGCAGUUGGGCUAAUUGUGCCUCACCUUAUAUUGUCCAAAUGUUCCAUGGCAGGCACGGAAAGUUAAAUCGUAAAUCCUGUGGAUGAAAGUUAGAAGAAGCCACUGCUGUAACGAUUUGCCUCUCACGAGUGGAUUAGUUCAACUUUUAGUCCUUUUCAGUGCCCGGUCUAUCGUGACGAGUCAAAUUUGGAACCGGUCCAAAACCAAAGUAUCGAUGAUCCGCACGGUUGCUCUUUGUUGCGGACACUCGUGUAUUUUGACAGAGUUUGGGGGGAAAAAAUGUGUUUGGACAAACAUUUCUUUUCUCGGAAAAAGUGGCGGAGCGGAAAUAUCAUCAUUUGUCGGUCUCAGUAGUACGUGCGUGCCUACGUGGUCCGUCCAUAGGAGUGCGCCGUGCCACGUGGCCUAUCCGCCGCCGUGCACGCGCUUCAGCGGUCGCGUCGCGUCUUGCCAAACGAUCGAGGUCGUGCUGUGUUUGUGCGUGCAGCCGUGCAGGCCGCCCAAGCCUGCUCCUCCAUGCAGAUUCCAGGCCUUUUUGGACACGCACGCGAUGGUCGAUGUUUCCCGGCGGCCGGCGCGCGCGGCGUGCUGACUGAAGAUCGCACAGCUCGCAAGUGACGUGCCGCGAGGCGAACCAGACAGACUCCAGGAGCUGGGUCGUCGCGCGCGCGAGCUCACGCCGCCGCCUCGUGCUCGCGUGGUGCGCGAGACGAACCGGUCUGCUUCCUUGCGCGCGGUUCACGCCGCAUGAACAGUGGGUAAAGGGUACUCACAAUGCAGGCUUUAUUAUAAAGUCUAAAGUUAUUUAUUACCUCGAACAAUGUGGAUUUAAAGUCUAAAUAAGACUUGGAGUCUUAUUUUUUUCUACCUCUUUCUUCAAUAAAUAUGCUGUCACAUCGGUAAAAUACAAUAAAUAACAUGUACUUAAUUAUCUUAGACUCUGUGAUAGAGUCUUGCAUUGUGAGUGCCCUAAGAGAAAUUUUACAGUGCUCGAGAAAAACUAGAGCCAUCCAUCUAAAUAGAUCGGAUGGUUAUAAAAUGAGAAGAGCCAAUAGAGAGGAACUUAAGUUGUGGGUCGGAACCUAUACUAAGUGGGCCAGGAACCAGUUUCAAAUUUUAAUCUGAAUGAUAGCAUAGUACCUUCAUCCAUCUCCCGUAUGUGUUAUCUUUCUCUGUUAUCGUAUCAUAGUCGUUUACAGGCCUGCUUGUUCGCCGCCACCGCCGCUGCCCAUCGCCAAACCUCUGCCGUGGCCGCGGCCGCCGCUGCGGUCACCCAAGAAAUCCCAACGCCGCAUUGCCGGUGGCCAAUGCCAAAGCAAGUAGGUGCGCCAACCAUGGCCGAGUAGACAUCAACCCUAGCUUGAGUCGUCCAAUCGUGGACCUGAACAACGGGUGCAGGCUGGUGUUGGCCUAUUGGGGGCGGUGCCACAGACUCGGCUUGGUAAUUGGCUCGAGCUAUCUUCGUAAGCUCAUGAGCUAUAGAGAAACUCAUGAGCUAUAGAGAAAAAAAAAAUUCACUUAGCAGAUAUCAACGUUCAGUCGCUCACGUAUCUUUGAUUCAAUAUAGUAAAUUAAGAAAAUUCCACUUUAAUGACAAAUCAACAAAUUAAUGAUUCAUGCAUGUAUCCUUGGUUUAAUGUCAAAAGUAAUCUAUUUUGAGAUCACAAAGCAAGAUCUGCAGAGCUUUCUGGGAGCGUCCUCUGCAUCUUGGCGCUCUCGGGGGCCGGCGGCGGCAGGCGCCGACGCGCAGCUUGCGUGGCCACAAGGGGUGAGCAACUGUGGACGAAAGCUAGUCGGCAGUCACCUUGGGGUAUACCACGGUAGUAGUUUAUCGGUAGACGCUCGAUGGUGACGCAAGACACGGACAAAGUUUUUAUCCAGGUUCGGCCGCCGUGUGGGCGUAAUACCUACGUCCUGCGUCUGAUUGUAUUGAGAUAAUAAUGUCUAUGACCUGUCCUUUAGGGGACCCCUGCCCCUCCUUAUAUAUCGUGAAGGGACAGAGUUACAAGUAAACUAUCCUAUUUGGUACAAUAUCUUGUAGCCUUGCGGUGCACGCUAACCAGCGUCGUGCGCCGCACGUCUUCAUCUUAUGAGCCGAGCCACCGUUGAUGGUGCGGCCCAUAUCAGUCCAUGAGGGUAUAGGGGUUUAUACUCCCACAGCAACCAACGAGGGUGUCGCUUGGGCUUGGGCGCUCGCUCGACAAGCAGGGUGGCGCCAGGUGGAGGUGUUGCUCCUGCUCGGCGGCUCAGUGCAGCGGACGCCGGCGCUCGUGAAAUCCUGCGUCGGGUACUCGCCGUCCGUCUCGGGGAUUUAGGGAGUUGUAGCCUUGUAAGAAAAGUACCUAACUACCCUUAAACAUAAUUAAUUAGUUUUUCGAAUUAUUAAUGGCUGCAAAUAAUUCUGAAGAGAGGAACCGAUGGUUCCUUCCAAGUACAGUAACAAACCUCGUGGGUUAAUACUUACUCCAUGCGUUUUGUUCCUGACGUUGAUGGCGUGCUCAUCAUCUUGGUUUUAUUUUUCAUAGCUGAGAACUACUCCGUACAAAAUAUAGAAAAAUUAGGCUCUAUUUAGUUUUUUAUGGAAUACAAAAAGUAAAAUGUCAACUGCUUUGAAAUAAUAAUGAUAAAAUAUAAAAUGCUAAAAUUUUCAGUGCUAUUUUAGUUCCAUUUAAAAUGCAGGAUUUGUUGGUCUCAUUAUGACCUCUUGAUACUCUUUUAGGUUUUUUUUUUUGACCUCUUGAGGUCAAAAUUUAAAAUGGAGAACAACCAUCUUUUUGUCAAAAAAUUUACAUGUGUUUAAUUUUAUUAAACAAAAAAAAGACUAAAACCAAGAUUUUUUUGGAUGAAAGGGAACUAAUUAAACACCCCCUUAUUACAUUUCAGUUGCCUUUUGUUUUGUUAUUUCCAUGAGACAAAAUGUGGCUUAGAUUCCAGUCUUCAGAUAACGACGACUCCCAUGCCUCGCUUGCAGAUUUAGAUUAGGCAUGAGCGCAUGAUGCGUGGUGUCUGGCUGUCUCUAACGUGCAUUGGGGACUACAGCAUGAUCGCCUAGAGGCAAAAGGAGGGGGGAAAAGAAAAAGAGAAAUGUAUGGUGGGCCGUUAAUAGACUUCAAUUGAGGCCGAGCCAUGACCUGCUCGCGCGGUCAGCCCGUUCGUUUCCUAGCCCCGAGUAGUGGAACAUGUCAUGCGCGCGCGAGCGAGCGAGCGAGAGGCGGACGGGACACAGUCCGUGCAAGCACGUACCCGACGAAAGCCAACCUUGUUGGAUCUUUUUUUCAUUAAAAAGAAGAGCCGAAAGAAAUGGCAGGUAACCGAUACAAUGAGUUCGCAAGUAAUCCAAGGAUUACCAUAGAAACCCAGAACACAAACAAAAGCAAGAAACAUGAGGGGGAUCCUCCACCUAACAACCCAACAGCUAAGCCAAAAACAAGAAGAACAACUCAAUACCUAGGUAGCCAGCAGUGUUCGGAGCCGCAACACAAAGGACAACUGACGGCCAUACAUCCGUCCCCACCUCUUCAACCUCAACGACCAACCCAGCCGGAGACGCGUCCUCAGUGGCAAAGCGAACCAACCGACGGCCAAGCAUCUGUCUCCACUUCAGCAACCUCGACGACCAACCCAGCCGGAGACGCGUCCUCAGUGGCAAAGCAACCAUCCGACGGCCAAGCAUCCGUCCCCACCUCAGCAACCUCAACGACCCACCUGCCGGAGAUGCAUCCUUGGUGGCAAAGCAACGCACCUCAGCGACAAAGCAUCCGCCGGGAACACCUCGGUGGCAAAGCAUCCACCGGAAAGAGCACAACUGCAGCUUCAACAAACACUAGCCAGCAAACCUGAGUGGAGAGCAGCAUGAAGCACGAAAAGGCUCGGCACGACGCUCGAGGGACGAUACGGGCAGCAGGCCACGCGUAGAAAGAACUUCGGCGGCAACGCCUUCAAGAAGGGAAGCGACGCGGGGAGCGCCGCCGUUGCCGGCCCAUACGGGCGAGGCGCCCUAGUUCCUUGCAACCAACAACCCCAUAAGGGACGAGCGCCGUCGGCCAAGGAGGGGUACGCAACGACAUAUGCCUCCAACGAGGAAAACGACGCCCCGAAGGCGUCGCCAUAGUCGGCCAGAAGGCACGGCUUUCGCCUAGCGCCACCCACUCGUGCACAGACCGCUCCAAAACGCCGACCACGCCGCCAUGACGCCGAAGGCGAACCGCUCGAACAUCUGCCCACAUCACCACGAUGCAGGGAGCGCACGAGGCGAGCCGGCCGCCGUAGCCGUCCGCCGCCAAGCAGAUGACCACCGCAGUCGUGGAGGGAGUGCCGAAGCCUUAGCAGCCGCCCCGAACGAGCCCAACCGUCCUGCACCCCACCCCGACCACGCCGGAGCCCAGACGGACGCCAGGCAGGCCGGCCAACGGAGGGAACAGGGGGAGUCGCGCCAGAUCAGAGGCCGGAGGCCCAGAUCCGGCCGUCACACAAGCCGCCGACGCCGGGGACAGGACGGGCAGGCCGGCGACGGAGGAGAACGGUGGGGGUGGCAGCAGCAGCAGAAAAGGGGGGCUGGGGGCCCAGAUCCGGCCGUCCCCCGGCCCAAGCCGCCGACACCCACCACCACGGAGGAGCCCGUUCGCCGAAGGACGGGUGGCUGGCGACCGAACCCGGAGCCGCUCCAGAAGCCCUCGUUGCCGAGGUGGAGGCCGAGGAAGCCCGGCGAGCAAGUGGUGGCGAGCGGAAGGAACACCUCCGGGCACAGCCGCGCGCACCCGUCCGUGGCCCUCAGCGCCUCCGCCUCCUCGUCCGUGAGCCGCGCGGCGAAGCCGGUGCUGCAGGCCCCUAGACCAACGGGGGAGGGGGAAGAAGGGGAGGGGGAGGAGCAGGCGCGGGCGGGCCGCCGCCGCCGCCAGGAGGGCGGCGACGGCGGAGCGACGCGGCGGAGGUUGGGAGCCGGGGCGGGGGUUUGGAGCUCUCGCGUAACAAGAAGAAAUUUUCAGUCUCAGUCUGAACUCUCCACCAGCUAACCUUGUUGGAUCCUUGUCGAUCGCGAGUAGCUAGGAUUCCUCCAUCUGUUUUAAUUUCCUACUACAACCAGUUGUCGACCAAUCAUCGACGCUGGAAUAAUUAACGCUCGAUCGAUCACCUGCUAAAGAUCUGCACGCCUACAUACGUUACGUCCGGUCCCAGUUUAUGCGAUCCGUUCAAACAAAUAAGAUCAAGAGUAUGCGUUGUUUUAAUUGGUAUAGUCGAUGAUCAAAGUCAACCGGCCGGGAGCUCUACAUCGGUACUAGCUCUUUGAUCCAUGUAUAGAUGAUGGACCGUGUCAAGACUCAAGACCCCCGAAACGAGGCAUCGAUCCAUGCAUCGCCCUCUGGAUCGCAUAUGCAUGCAUGCUUUGAUUGCGUAUUACUACUAGUAUAAUUUUUCAGAUGCUGUCGCGAUCUUGCGUCGGCAGCACGAGCACUGUACGUCUACGCGCGCGGCCGCACCAACCGGCGUCGUCGUCGUCGUCGCUGCCUGCAUGCUCACGCACCCGUGGGUUCACACGGCUUUUGUCCCACCGGUCGGUCAGGGUCUUUAGGCCUUUAGGGACUCGACUCGAUCGAUCGGGGUCACGGCUCGGAAUUAUUGCUACUCCCUCACAGCAGGCUGCAAGUCAUCAUGCUGGAUUGCUUGGUGUAGCAUAUAUAUAGCGGCUAUAUACUAGUAGAAGCAGCACCAGCACUGCUACUCUGCUAGUUUAUGCUCGACCACACCAGACCUUCCGAGAGCGAGCGAGACCGUGUGUGCGUGUAAAAGUACUCGCUUCCCCGUCACUGCAAAAUUAUUGCCGCCAUGUGCGUGCGCACGCACCGCCGCACCGGACGGCGCGCGGUAACAUUCCGGGCUCGCCAACCACCGCGCAGAAUCAUGCAUGCACACAUGACGGUGCCGUCGUAAAUUUAAAUUAAAAACGAUUAUUACAACUUUAUAAACCACAGUACGUCCACAUAGGAGCCAAAUUCGAAAGAAAAUCAACGCUACAUAAACGUACCCCAGAUGAAAAGUAAUACGUGCACGUGCAACUUAUUUGUUUUAAUGGAAGUAAAAUGUGAUUUUGCGAAGUAUUUUAUUUAAGGUAUGGUAUUAUUAGCAGCAGGUAAACAAAAGGGGCGAACAUGGCAAUUAAGAACCAGCACGGAGGACGGGAUCAAUGCUCGUUACGUAGUAGUACUACGCCACUAGGAAACAUCUCCGUCCGUGUUUGCCGGAGUCUCCCGACGGCGGCGGCGACCACCGGCUGAGAGUAAUUUUACCAGCUAAUCGUAAUCGGCAGCCUCGCCCCCAGCUUAAUCUAAUCCCAGACUCUGCAUUCAAAAUCGGCGAGACCCCUUGGCGUGACACUGAUGACACGGACCGCCAGGACCCACGGGCCACCGCCAGCCUUCGUCUCCACGCCUGCGACGUCACGGGGGGCGGGGUACCACGAUCCCCUGCGCCGCAGCAGAACAGCGUCGGCGCGCGCGACCAGCGCCCCACCGCGCGCUUUGCCGUUUGCGACUUGCGAGCGGGAGCGUCGCGGUGGAUAAGAUCCGGUGGGGGCGGGGUCUGCGCCGUCUGCGCGUAGUAGUGGUGGGGCCGAGGAGCGGGUGGUCGGUGGGGCCCGCUUGGCGGUGUGCGAAGGAGAGGCCUCCGCUCCGCACGUUUGACCCUGACGACGCCACGUGGGAGAGGCCAAUGGUCCGACGUGGUCAGCGGCCAGGAACAGGUACAGGACGCCGGGACGCAAUGCGGCCUGUGUUUUAUUCCGCUGUGAUAAAGGAAAAUCAGGCCUCGUUUAGUUUGCAAAAUUUUGGUUUUUUUUUUUGCUACUGUAGCAAUUUCGUUUUUAUUUGACAAACAUUGUCCAAUCACGGAGUUAUUAGGCUUAAAAGAUUCAUCUCACAAAUUUCAGAUAAACUGUGUAAUUAGUUUUUAUUUUUGUUUUUAUUUAAUGCUCCAUGCAUACGAUCAAAGAUUCGAUGUGACGGAGAGUCUUGAAAAUUUUUGCGAACUAAACAAGGCCUCAGUUUUCCCACUAGUUGUUUUAGAGACUUGAUGUUUAUUAAGGCCUUGUUUGUGUUGGAGUGGAUUGGAGUGGAAUUUAGUUUAAAUUCUACUAUAACCCACCCCAACACAUGUGGAUUGAUGCGAAUUCGACUACAUCCAAACAAAGCCUAAUAAGUUGAGGUAUAUCAUACGAAAGUUUAGACAAGAUUUGCAUAGAAUCUCUAACAUUGAAUGACUUUCUAGUGAUGCAUGUUCAACAUUCUGUUUGCACAUCAACGGUCAAGAGAAAACAACGCACGUAUGAUGAAAAAAAAUUGGUGAACCUUUAAAAGCGGCACAUGAAAGUAUAUUUCAAUAGAUGAUGAUUAAGGAUAUCAAUGCCAAAAUUAAUUGUGGACUUAUGCUGGACACUACUGUCAAUGACAAAGCAUCUAUCGCGUGGGAAGAAGGAGAAGGCGUGCGAGAAAGAGCCGCCUCAUGUGUGGGAACGAUUCGCUAGCGCACGUGGUAAGAUUCGCUAGCGUGCGCAGAGGCUGUAUGGCAAGCUGCAGGACAUGGAUAGCUAGCUAUCCAAUUUGGAUUUUUCGUAGUAAUAGCUAUAUUUAUAUUUAGAAAACAAUUUACCUAGUCCGUUGGAGAUGUUCUAAAUCACUAGAUAUGGAUAGUUAUUUUGACUAAUCUCUUAGAGAUGCUUUUAAUCUCGAGAUCAACCAUCUACGUGCGAAAAAACUUUCUUCAUUGUCUUUGCAAUAAUAUUAUUUGAAUAAUAAAUAAUAUUGAUAAUUGUCACUCGAGAAUCAUGUCUGAGUAGUGUCGUAUUUGUAUUUGUAAUUUUUAUGUAACCUAAGGGAGCAGACGUACUUGUCUAUUUUUGUAUGAUGUCUCAUGUCUUAAUUAACGUAUGAUGUUACUCUUUCUAGCAUUUUCUAGAAAUAUACCUAGAUCGUCGAUCUUAAACUUAACUAAUCACACCGCCGUCUUAUGUCUCCUAACAUCAAUAUAUAUUAUGUAUCACAUCCUCUCUCAUAACUUUUGAAACCAUUUCCUGUAUUUAUGCCUUACUCAAAUAAGGUUUGACAUCAAUCAUUGUCCAUCUUUGCUACUUAGCUCCAUAUGUUUCUAUGCCAAUAUUAGAUUGCAAUCUUAUUGCUUCAACUCCAUUUCAUGCCUUAUGGAUAUACAACAAUUUACUAUAUAAUUCCUCUCUUGGAGUACCAUCCAACAACUCCUUUCUUCCUAUGACUUAUGAUGCUACUAUUACUCAAUCCUCGUCCUAGGUGACUGAAUCCUGCCAAUCUAGAUCUAAUAUUGAGGGGCACUAAUAAAAGGUUAGGGUUGACGAAUGUCAUGCUUUUUUAACGUUCAUUUCUGACAACUCUCUACUAAUCUAAGGUUAUAGGUCUGUACAAUCUUGCCUCUUUUUUUCCUUUCUGCAUUAUAGAGUCAGAUUACUUUGCUAUGAUUGGACUGGGCAAAAAGGCACGAUUAAAUCACCCUCCAAAGUGUAUUUAAUUUUGCAAAUAUUCAUCUAUUAUUUAUCAUGAGAAAGUACUUAUAAUAUGGCCUUGUUCACUUUCCAAAAAAAAUUGUAUUUUUUUAGAUUAUCCGUCACAUCAAAUCUUGCGGUACAUAUAGAACAUUAAAUAUAAAUAAAAGAUUUGCACAGUUUAUCUGUAAUUUGUGAGACAAAUAUUUUAAACCUAGUUAGUUCAUGAUUGGACAAUAAUAUUUAUCAAAUACAAACGAAAAUGUUACAAUGUUCAUUUUGUAAUUUCUUUUGUAAAUAAACAAGGCCUAUAUAGAAGAGAAAAAGGGAAAUAAACUAUCCUGUCCAUUGAAAGUUCCCUCUAGUGUCAUUCACCAAACACCAAAUAGGCAUCCCGACGAAAAGGGAAAUUUCAUCACGCUUUAGAGACAGGAACCAAUAGCUCUCCUCUGCCAAAGUCGUAAAGAUAGAAUAUAAACACGCACGAACAAAGACAAGGUCAUAGUAGUAUUGUUACCUACAAGAAACAAAAAAUAAAAACAAAAAGGAGAAAAAGAAAAUACUAGGGAAGCGUAGCAAGCAACCAGGCAAGGGGGGCUCGAGCCAACAACCGAAUAGAGAGAGCCGAAGCAGAGGACACACUCACCACAGGCGCAGGCAAGGCCGCAUAGACGGAGCAGAGCAGGUAGAGGAGAGAGGCGGCGUCGCGGCGAGGUGGGAGAGAGAGAGAGAGAGAGAGAGAGGAGGUGAAGGUGCGUGGGUAAAAAAGAGGAAACAAAAAAGAAAACGAGCGAGGCAGAGAAAACACAAGCAAACAGACGACAGCAAAAAUAGGAGGUCGGAGGCGACGAGCGGGAGGCGGAGGCGAGGAACAACGUGAAUAAAAAUUUUAUUCGGAGAAACAAGGGAAGCCGGGGGAUCGCGUCGGAAUUCCGGCGAAUCGGCGGGAUCCGGCCGGGAUCUGCGCGCCGGAUGAGGGGUUGGCACCAUGAAAUGGUCCACAUUGCUCAGUAAGGUCGUCUUCGCCGCCGGCCAGCAGCAGGAGCAGCAGCCGCCGCCGCCCCCGCCGCCGCCGCCGGGGUCGCCGUUACACCGCCAGCAGGCGGUCCAGGACCUCGCCACCCCGAGGCUCAGCUCCGCCUCCACCGGCGGGGACGAGGGCGGCUUCGACGCGGCGGCCGGGAGCUCGCCCUCUGCCGCCGCGUCCCCUGCCAGGUGGGUCCCCCAGCCGAGUCAAACGUCUCUCUACUGGCCUCGCGUUGCCUGAAUCAAAUCCGGUGUCUGGUGAUGCAUGGCCAGCUCCGAUGCGAUCCCGUUACUCCUGUUUUCCGGGUUUAGCAAUGGCAAUCGGAUUUAGAUUCGGAGAGGGUUCGAUCGCAGAUGCUUGCUUCUCCGUUUCAUCUUCCUGUCUCUGGCUGUUUGGUGAUUUAGUUGGUAGAUGUGGAUUAUGUGUUGUAUUAACGUUUUGACUCAUAGGAUUGAUAUCAGUGAAUGUUUUUUUAGCUCGAGCUUGGCGAUAGUGCUGCAGUUAUUUUGGUUUUGCUCUUAUGUUGAUCAUAGACGAUGACGGUGUCUUCAGAGGAAAUGAUACUGGACUAGGAUGGUGGUGCCUUGGAGAGAAAUGAUGCUGGACUAGGACGGUGGUUGGGCGAGUCGGUAGCUGCAUAGUCAAUUUUAUGAUCUGUAUGCCAUGCCUGAAGGCUACGGCCCUUGUCCUUUUGUUUGUUGUGCUUUUGUAGAACAACGGGGCUAAUGUGUUUUUGCAUUUCUCGUAGCAGAGAAAGUGGAAAUUUUAGCAAUCUUGAUUGGAGUCAACUUUAUGAGUCUGGUUUGCUUGAUUUGUCGUUUUAUGUUUGAACUGGGAUGUUAUAAGAUUAUUGUGGCACAUGCCAUUCUAAGGUGGUGUGAAGUUUGAUUGACUGUGUUGCAUUGUUUCUCAAGUUACCGCGCUGCUAGGGAUACACUCCUUCAUUGUUUUUUUUAGAUGUCCUUUGUUAGAUACUUCUAAUGAUGGUUGUUGCUACUACUACCAUAUUCUCUGUGACCCCCUUCUGCUGCACAGUCACUCGCAUUGGCUGCACAGCAGCUGAUGAGGGUUGCUAUGCCAUCAAUCUUUGAUUAAACAUGGUUUAGCUGCUUUGGACCCAUAUCACAGAGAUUGUAUAUAUAAAAGAGAAGAAGAUAUCUAGUUUACUGGGGAAUGGAGACUUGUAAGCCAUACAUGCUUAACUUUUGGUCUGGAUUUACGAUUCCUGUUUGUUCAUUUUUUCUAUUGCCAUUGCUGCAGUGUUUGUUAAAUAGCAUAUUAGCAUUACAGUACCAUGAAAGAACAGUGACUUACCCUGUUCUAAAAAAAACAGUGACUUAUCCUUUGCCUGAACUAACUAUAUAAUCACUUGGUAAAGGAACAAAUACUAUGGUCAUGAUUGUUAGUUAAGUAUGUUAUCAGUUAUCUUUUCUUGGACACUGUAUAGCACUUGGACCUGAUAACAAAAGUCUGUACCUCUUAUAGUAUUUUUUUCUGCCAAUAUCUUCAAGCUAAUUUAUGUAUGUGUAUGGAUUGCAUUCUCACAUAGGUUAAGUUCCUGUAUUCUAGCUUUCAACAAUUAAAUCAAGAAUUUAUGUCCAUUUCAAAUAUUGAUUAGGAGUUUGGUUCUGCUAUUUUAAGUGAAUAAUAUAUGCUUCUGCAAAAAAUAUUUAUGUUCCCCAUCUUAACCAAGGAUGCAAGUGGGUCUCCAAUGGUGUUUUGUGGGUCAGCUAGCUGAGUUCAUGUCUCCCCUUCAAUUAAUUAUGCGGCAUGCGAUUCUAGUUCAUUGUAGCAAGUUUGGGUCGACCCAAUGACCCAACACAUCCCUAAUCUUAACAUUAUUUUUUUUUGUACGCAGGGGCAAAAAUGAAUUGGAGUCAGACUUUAGGAGAUUAUGGGAAGAAUUUCGCUCUUCCAGCUCUGAAAAGGUACACUGACACUUGUUUUAUUUUUUUCACCAUAAAUCAAUAAUAAGACCUUGUGAGCUGGUUCUUGCCUUGACAUUGUAUUCUGUUUUCCCUCUGCAGGAGAAAGAAAGGGCCUUAAAUUUGGCUGUAGAUGUCUUCUGUAGGCUAGUGAAGCAAUAUUCUAGUGUAGCUCAAUUAGUUACAAAGUAUGACUCUUUACAAUUGCACACACUACUUUCAAUAAAUUAUGCUGUUACAUUGCAUUUAUUUCAGUGGGUUCAUGUAUACUCUCUAUUUUAGAAAACUGAAUAAUGGUCUUCUGUUUCUUUCCUUCAUAAUUUCUACAGGUUAGUAGAAGGACAUGUUUUUUCUUUUGUUAUUGGAAGAGCUUUUGUUACUGAUUUGGAGAAACUAAGAAUCCAUAGCAAAGGAAGAUCACUGCGUGUGGCUGAUGUUAUUGGCUUCUUUUCAGAUACCACAGAGGUUUGUUCUUAUAUUAUUAUCUAGUGCAAUUUCUGGUUCCAGGAGGCCAUGCACUCUCUAAGUCUUAACUCGUUGGUUCCAUGAUCCAGCUUGGUAUAUGUCCAGGAUCAAAUUUGUUGUAUGCAGUCGAAGUUCUUGUGACAGAGGUUAGUGAAAUUGCUAUAAUAUGACAACAAGAAGUCCAUUUUUCAUGCAGUAUAUUGUCUGUUAUUGCAACGUUUAUUAAAGCAUACUAUUAAUGGUACUAAGAAGCAAGAGGCAUCUGUUUCCUGAGUUCUGACACAAUUAAUAUCCAAGUGUAAUGGGGGUGUCCGGUGGUUCAUGGAUAAAAAUUUACUUAGCUAUGGACUUGCUUGCUGAUAUUAUAUUUCCUAUCCAAUAUGAAACACAGUUUACCAAACGUUUAAACUAACAAGCAUCUCUUGUCAUGUUUAAUUUCAUGGUUACAGACAAAUGAUAAGCAGCCUCUGUUGGACUCUGGUAUUUUGUGCUGCCUUAUAUAUAUCCUCAAUUCUCUAUUGAGUCCCAAUGAGAACUCCACAAAUACCUUGCCUGUUCACCAAGAAGGAUCGAUAAUUGAGAAAAACAAAAAUUUGGAUCCUAUGCAAUCACGACGGCUUGAGGUAAUCUCAAUCUUCUGAUUCUCAUAGAAACAGGGCCUUAUUUGCAAGAAUGUACUGUUGACAUCCACAAAAUCGUAAAUUGUUUAACAUAGGGUUGUUGCUUUGUCUGUAUUAUUACACGUCUUUUGCUUUGUGUUCAUAUAUGUUAUAUGGUAACUAUAUGCCUUCCCUUCAUUUUCUCCUUGUCAACCUGGGGUUUUGAUCUUUAUUCUUUUUUCUGUUCUAUGGAGAUUGAGGGAAGCGUGAUACAUAUAAUGAAAGCAUUGGCGAGCCAUCAAUCUGCUGCACCAAGUUUAAUUGAAGAUGAUGCCUUGCAAGUUCUUUUCCAGAUGGUUGCAAAUGGUUCAUUAUCUGUGUUUUCACAGUUCAGGGAUGGUAUUGUUCCCCUUCACACAAUUCAGCUCCAUCGCCAUGCGAUGCAGGUAAUUUGAAACUAUGUAACAUUAUGUUUUGGAGGGUCAUGUUUCUGCUGCACCAAUAGUUGCUAAAUAUAUUGAGUUCAUAACUGAACAGGUCCUUGGUCUUCUUCUUGCAAAUGACAAUGGGACUUCUGCAAAGUACAUCAGGAAGCACCAGCUGGUACAUUACCAUCUGUUCUUUAUUGUGGACGAAAUGUUGUCCUGUUCUUGGGUCUAGUUAGGAUUCUUCACACUAAAGUACUAAACAGCACAUAGCAAUGUAUUCUUAGUUAUUCAAUCUUCACAAACAAUAGCUGUUUUCACUUGGCUAAGAUUAGAAGUUUAGAACAUAAACUCUUGAAAAGUGGGAAAAUCUUCACUGAAGCACCUUGGUAUUUCAUUUAGGCAUUUUUUCUGACAUAGACAUCCUUUUUGGACCCCCAGCUAAAUCCUGGUAACUGUGCUACCAUUUACCAAAGUUCUGUUUUCUCUCCCUUUUCUCAUCUCUUUUCAAGAAUAGUCACUGGUGGCAUGCCAGGGUUCAACCCCUUCCCGCUGGGGUGUUGGGCAUCUGGUAGCAGUUCCUUUCUAUUAUUUACUGGAACACCUAGUCUUUUGCAUAUAUUUCUAUUCAAUCUUGUUAACCCUUUCUCCACCAUGUCUUUUAGAUUAAGGUACUUCUUAUGGCUGUGAAAGAUUUCAAUCCUCAGAGUUGCGAUGCUGCUUACACCAUGGGCAUUGUGGAUUUAUUACUGGAAUGUGUUGAGCUGUCAUACAGGCCUGGUUAGUAUUGAUGAACUUUGCCACUCAUGCAUUUCUUCCGAGUAAGAUGCUUUGAUUCAAUAUUUUUCAAAGUUUACAAAUUAUUAAAUAAUUUUCUUUUGUUUGUGUGGUUCUGGUUGUGUUUCCACCUAUAGCUUAUCGUUGCUUGGUAUUAAAUACUUUGUUGCCAUACAAUUUGAACGAUCACUAUUGUUGUGUGCCUAAUAUCUUAAUAUUUGGUUUACUUUGCAGAGUCUGGAUCCAUAAGGCUGAGGGAAGACAUACAUAAUGCUCAUGGUUACCAGUUCCUUGUUCAGUUUGCUCUAACGCUUUGUAGCUUACACAAAAAUCAGACUCUCCAAUCCUCAUCCAAGUUAGCAUCCGAAGAGGAUGCAUCCUUUCCUUCUGACAGAUUAGAACAAGAUGUAUUCUCAUGUGACCUUUCACCUCAGUUGUCUAGGUUGCUUGAUGUUCUUGUAAAUUUGUCACAAAUUGGCCCCUCAGAAAAUGGUGGUGGUAAGAGUUUAAAAUCUUCUCAUGCGAAAGGAACGGGGCACAGCAGAAGCCGAACUCCUUCUGCUGACAAGUUUGAUGACUUGAUGGAAGUUAGUAGCCCCAAGGUAAAAGAUCUUGAUGCCAUUCAGAUGCUACAAGAUAUUUUUCUGAAGGCAGACAACUUGGAAGUGCAAGCUGAAGUUCUCAAUAGAAUGUUCAAGAUUUUCUCAAGCCAUCUUGAAAAUUACAAGCUAUGCCAACAACUACGUACUGUUCCUCUUUUUAUCCUAAACAUGGGCAGCUUCCCUGCAGCACUACAAGAGGUCAUCUUAAAAAUAUUGGAAUAUGCUGUCACUGUAGUAAACUGCAUUCCAGAGCAAGAGUUGUUGUCACUUUGUUGCUUAUUGCAACAACCAAUUUCUACCAGUCUUAAGCAUACAGUGCUUUCGUUCUUUGUAAAGCUACUUUCCUUUGAUCAGCAGUACAAGAAAGUUCUUAGAGAAGUUGGUGUCCUGGGGGUAUUGUUAGAUGACUUGAAGCAAAACAAGCUUUUCUUUGGAGAUGAGCAGCAAAAUAAGGCCUUUGACUCUACAGAGAGGAUGUCUAAUGCAACUAGAUUUCAGAGGACAGUGGACAACAAAGAUGCAAUUCUUUCGCCAAAGUUAAUGGCUUCUAGUUCUGCAAAAUUUCCCAUGUUUGAAGAUGAAGGGACAAUUACUGUUGCUUGGGAUUGUCUUUUUUAUCUGCUGAAAAGAGCUGAGCCUAACCAGCAAUCAUUUCGAUCAUCCAAUGGUGUCAACAUCAUUCUUCCUUUCUUGGUAUCCGAAAGCCACAGAUCUGGUGUAUUGCGACUAUUGUCAUGCCUAAUAAUUGAAGAUUCUCUUCAGGUUUGUGUUUGUAGCUGACUAUUCCAUAUAACAAACCAUUUUUCUUCUGUAAAUUUUUGAGGGCAUUCAUGGUUCAGCUGCUGCUGCUCCACCAGCAACAGCUACAUUAAUGCACAGCUGUGGAGCUGCAGCAGCAGCCACAGCCAGCUGAACCAAUUAGCCCAUUAGUGUAGGGCCAGAAAUGUUGAAUUCUCUAAUUCAUUAGUCUUGGUCGAGCACUUAUGCAAGUUGAAAGACUUCAUUUUCCUAUGCGCACUGUAUAUUUUCUAAUCAUGCCUAGUGAUUUUAUUAGCAGCAUGCUUGCGAACUUGACUUAAUUGACAUGAGUACUGUUUUCAGGCUCAUCCAGAAGAAAUAGGGUCAUUGAUUGAAAUUUUGAAGAGUGGGAUGGUAUCAACAUCAUCUGGUUCUCAGUUUAAGCUUGAAAAUGAUGCAAAGUGUGAUACAUUUGGUGCUUUGUGGCGGAUUCUUGGGGCAAACAGCUCAGCACAAAGAAUAUUUGGAGAAGCCACUGGAUUUUCCCUGCUGUUGACGACACUGCAUACUUUCCAGAAUGACAGUGAAAAUGAAGAGACCGAAUCAUCUUUGCAUACUCAUAUGAAGAUCUUUGGUUUUCUAUUGCGAGCAAUGACAGCUGCAGUAUGCAACAAUUCUGUCAAUAGGAUAAGGCUGCAUACAAUACUGUCGUCGAACACUUUCUAUGAUCUCCUCUCUGAGUCUGGGCUGCUUUGUGUGGAUUGUGAAAAACAAGUUAUUUUGCUUUUGCUUGAGCUUGCACUUGAGAUUGUUCUCCCGCCCACGAGUAACCUGCAGGUAGAGAGCAUUUCUUCUGAAACCUCAGAGGAUGAAUUGAGCUUCUUGUCUGCAACAUCGUUUGGACUUUCAAGGCUUGACAAGGAGCGUGUGUACAAUGCUAGUGCAAUUGUUGUGCUGAUCCGUUGUUUGCUGGUAUUUACACCUAAAGUUCAACUUGAGUUGCUGAGAUUCAUUGAGAAGCUAGCAAUUGCUGGUCCCUUCAACCAGGAGAAUUUAACUUCUGUUGGUAUGGGCAAAAGAUAUUCUUGCUACCCUUUUUCUUUUGAUUCAUUUUGACAAGGGCACCUUAUGUUUUUGUUACUCUUUUAUUACAUAGGAUGUGUUGGCCUUCUACUUGAGACAAUCAGCCCAUUUUUGGAGGGUUCCUCUCCUAUUCUUAAUCAUGCCUUGAGAAUUGUUGAACUGCUAGGUGCUUACAGGUUUGUCAUAUCUCAUAAAAUUCCAUGUGUUUCGUUGCAACAAUUUUGUUUUGUUGUUUCACAGUACAUGGUUACUCUUUUCUUGUCCAGGUUGUCUUCGUCUGAGCUAAGGCUUCUUGUGAGAUAUAUUCUUCAGCUGAAAGUGAAGCGUUCAGGUCAUCUUUUUGUUAAUAUGAUGGACAAGUUAAUUCAAAUGGAAGAUGUCAGACAAGGACAUGUUUCUCUAGCUCCUUUCAUUGAAAUGGACAUGAGCAAAGCCGGUCAUGCAUCUAUUCAGGUUUCAUUAGGAGAAAGAACAUGGCCACCUGUUUCUGGGUAUUCCUUUGUUUGCUGGUUCCAAUUUCAGGACUUCUUUAAAUGCCAACCGAAGGAAGCAGAAAAAGCGUCAAAAGGGGGAUAUAGCAAGAGGAGUGGGCAUGUUUUACGCAUAUUUUCUGUGGGUGCAGUGGACGAUGCUAACACUCUGUUUGCUGAGCUUUAUCUCCAUGACAAUGGUGUUUUUACUAUAUCUACAGGCAGUUCAAGUUCAUUGUCAUUUCCAGGCAUUGAAAUGGAAGAAGGAAAAUGGCAUCAUCUUGCUGUCGUUCAUAGUAAGCCAAAUGCACUAGCUGGGCUUUUCCAAGCAAGUGUGGCUAGCCUGUAUCUUGAUGGAAAGCUGAGGCACACAGGCAAGCUUGGAUACUCGCCAUCCCCAUUUGGUAAAUCUUUGCAAGUAACACUUGGUACGCCUACUAUACGUGGGAAAGUUUCUGACUUUUCAUGGCGGCUCCGGUGUUGCUAUCUUUUUGAGGAGGUCUUGACACCAGGGAGCAUUUGUUUCAUGUACAUUCUUGGACAAGGGUAUCGGGGUUUGUUCCAGGACAUUGACCUUCUGAGAUUUGUCCCAAACUGGGCCUGUGGUGGGGAGGUAAUGGCAAUUCUGGAUUCAUUAGAAGUGGAAGUUCCUGCACCUUCAAGCAGCCAGCGUGUUGACAGUUCAAUGAAACAAGGAAGCUCUAGACUUGAGAGCAGUGGAAUUGUUUGGGACAUGGAACUUUUAAGAAAUCUCUCCUUACAAUUGUCUGGGAAGAAGCUUAUAUUUGCAUUUGAUGGAACUUCAUCAGAUGCUUUUCGAGCAUCUGGUACUCUUUCGCUGCUGAACCUUGUCGAUCCAACUUCUGCUGCUGCAUCCCCUAUAGGAGGUGUGUAAUGUCAUCUAGCUAUUGAAUUUAUAUUUUCUGUUUUUGAAUUGGAUAUGCCAGAAUUCAACUAGUUAUGUUAACAGGUAUACCAAGAUAUGGGCGGCUAAGCGGUGAUGUUUACAUUUGUAAUCAAUGCACAAUUGGUGACACUGUUCAAACAGUUGGUGGGAUGCCUGUGGUACUUGCCCUUGUUGAAGCUGCUGAAAGUAGGGAUAUGCUGCAUAUGGCGCUGGAGCUGCUUGCACUAUCUCUUCAGCAGAGUCAUCAAAAUGUAAAAAACAUGCAGGCCUUGAGGGGUUAUCAUCUUCUUGCGCUUUUUCUUCAUAGGAGAAUGUCACUAUUUGAUCUGCAAUCUCUUGAUAUCUUCUUUCGUAUUGCUGCUUGUGAGGCUUCCUUUCCUGAGCCACAGAAAUCAAAGAUAAAUCGAACAGCAAGCUAUGCGUCUGGAAUGUCCCCAGAGGCCAGCCUUGAUGAUCUUACCUUACCCAAGUUUGGCGAUGACAUGUCUUCUGGUGGAUCGCAUGGGGAUCUAGAUGACUUUUCAGCUCAAAAGGAUUCAUUUAGCCACUUGUCUGAGCUGGAGAAUGCUGACCUAGCUGGUGAGACUUCUGAAUUCAUAGUCUUGUCAAAUGCUGAUAUGGUUGAACACAUUCUUUUGGACUGGACGAUAUGGGUUGCUGCUCCUAUAUCAGUGCAGAUAACUCUUCUUGGGUUUCUUGAGAGGAUGGUGUCCAUGCAUUGGUUCAGAAAUCACAACCUUACAAUACUGCGCCGAAUUAAUCUUGUUCAACAUCUUCUUGUUACUUUACAACGUGGUGAUGUUGAAAUUCCUGUGCUGGAGAAGCUAGUUGUGCUUCUAGGUGUCAUCCUGGAGGAUGGUUUUCUAGCUUCUGAGCUGGAGCUCGUCGUAAGAUUCAUAAUAAUGACAUUUGAUCCUCCAGAGCUUACACCGAACCGCCAGAUUGUGCGGGAGGCUAUGGGAAAGCAUGUUAUUGUGAGGAACAUGUUAUUGGAAAUGCUUAUUGAUCUACAAGUUACCAUAGAUGCCGAAGAAUUGCUGGAGCAAUGGCAUAAAGUUGUUUCAUCCAGAUUGGUCACAUAUUUCCUUGACGAAGCAGUACAUCCAACUAGCAUGAGAUGGAUCACGACUCUUUUAGGAGUUUGCCUUACGUCAUCAACUACAUUUGCAUUGAAGUUCCGUACAAGUGGAGGCUUUCAAGGAUUGAAUCAUGUGCUUCCAAGCUUUCACGAUUCUCCAGAAAUAUACUAUAUAUUGUUCUGUUUGGUGUUUGGGAAGCCUGUUUAUCCUCGAGUGCCAGAGGUCCGCAUGCUUGAUUUUCAUGCUCUCAUGCCUAGCGAUGGAAACUAUGGAGAAUUGAAGUUUGUGGAUCUAUUGGACACUAUAAUUGCAAUGGCAAAAGCUACAUUUGUUUCCUUGAUUAUGAAAUCUAUGCUUGCACAUGAGAAUAACAAUCUUUCACAUCUUAAUGGCACCUUGGUCGCGGAUCUUGUUGAGGCGACAUCGGACAUGGGAGGUGAUCUUCAAGGAGAAGCUCUGAUGCAUAAGACAUAUGCAGCAAGGUUAAUGGGUGGUGAAGCAGCAGCACCUGCUGUUGCUACUUCAAUAUUGAGGUUCAUGGUUGAUCUGGCAAAGAUGUGCCCACCAUUCUCUGCUGUUUGCAGGCGACAUGAUUUCCUAGAGAGCUGUGUUGAUCUCUAUUUCUCUUGUGUGAGGUUUGUACAAUGUGUCAAUGUGCAUAUAUCAUGUUACUUGGUGUUUUAAAUGUUUAUAUUAAGCCUUGUUUUGUUAUGUAGGUCUGAUUGUGCCCUGAGGAUGGCAAAAGAUCUUACAACUGCUGCAACUGACGAGAGGAAUGUACAUGAUGAUGACAAUGGAAGUUCAAAGGAUGCAUUUUCAAGUUUACCACAUGAUCAGGAGCAAUCUUCCAAAACGUUGAGUGUCACAAGUUUUCCUCAGGAGCAGAAAAGUUCCAGUUCAGAAAGUACUGGCAUGCCAAACUCUUUCGAAGCUGCUGAAGCCAAAGCAGAUGAUUCUUCGAAUCAGGAGCUCAGCACUAUUAUUUUAAACGGAGAAGCAAACCAAUUGUUUACUAAUGCUCAUGAUCAAGGGCAGACCACAGCUUCCAGUGCAAAUGGCAUUGCUGAACACCACCAUGUAACUGAUUCACCCAACUCGGUUGCUAUGAAUAAUGUUGGAUCUCCUGUUUUAUCCGAGAGGUCAACCCACAGAGCAGCGAGUACCCCUACUGCAUCUCCAAUGGCCCCAUUCACAUCUUGGCCUGGCAGUGCAGGAUCAUAUAGUGAUGGUAGACACCUGACAGCUUCUCCAUCCAUGGCUUCAUCUAUGUCUGGGAUAGACCUGGACUCGUCCCCUGAUCCGAGGACAAAUAUUCAGGGAUCAUCUGCCGUUAAUACCUUUUUCCCAAUCAAUUCGAAGCUUUUGCUUGACAUAGAUGAUUUAGGUUAUGGGGGUGGUCCAUGCUCUGCAGGAGCUACAGCUGUUCUAGAUUUUGUUGCUCAAAUCCUUGCUGACACUAUCUCAGAUCAACUUAAAGCAGCACUCUUUGUUGAGAACAUUUUGGAGUCUGUGCCUUUGUUUGUUGAUGUUGACUCUGCUCUGGUUUUUCAAGGCUUGUGCCUAAGCAGAUUGAUGAACUUCCUUGAAAGAAAGCUCUUGCUUGAUGACGAAGAAGAUGGGAAGAAACUUGACAAGAGCCGCUGGUCUGUCAAUUUGGACCCACUUUGCUGGAUGAUUGUUGAUCGUGUGUACAUGGGCUGCUUUCCAACCCCACUCAGGGUACUACAAACACUAGAAUUCUUAAUGUCCAUGUUACAGCUUGCUAAUAAAGAUGGCCGUGUUGAAGAUGCUGUGCCUCCAGGUAAAGGUAUUUUGUCCAUUGCUCGAGGAAGCAAGCAACUUGAUCCUUACAUCCACGCAAUAUUGAAGAACACAAACCGGAUGAUAAUGUACUGCUUCCUCCCAACAUUCCUCAAAAGUAUGGGGGAAGAUGAUCUACUUGCAAAUCUUGCAUUCCUGACAGAAACUGGGAGGAGUUUAGCUUCUAAACCUUACCAGGAAGAUUUUUCUAUUGAUAUUUGUACAGUUCUUCAGCUACUAAUUGCCAACAAGAGAUUGGUGCUCUGCCCAAGCAAUGUUGAUACAGAUCUAAUGUGUUGUUUCUGCAUAAAUUUAAUGGCACUUCUCCAUGACAAGAGAGUAACUGCUCAAAACUUGGCGGUUGAUUUACUUAAAUACUUGGUAGUGCAUCGUCGCCAAUCUCUUGAGGACCUGCUAGUUUGCAAGCCUAACCAAGGACAACAACUGGACAUCCUGCAUGGAGGACUUGAUAAAUUGCUCACUGGAAGCACGUCAAUGUUUUUUGAAUGGCUCCAAAGUUCCCAGCAAACAAUAAGUAAAGUGUUGGACCAGUGCGCUCUAAUAAUGUGGGUUCAAUAUAUUACCGGCUCAGCAAAGUUUCCUGGCGUGAGAAUAAAAGGAAUGGAGGUCAGGCGCAAGAAAGAGAUGGGACGGAAAUUUCGCGAAUCUGCAAAACUAGAUGCCAGGCACUGGGAGCAGAUAAAUGAGCGGAGAUACAAUCUUGAUUUGGUUCGUGAUGUGAUGUCUACAGAGCUAAGAGCAAUUCGUCAAGACAAAUACGGAUGGAUAUUGCACGGGGAAAGUGAGUGGCAAAGCCAGCUCCAAGAACUUGUUCAUGAGAGAGGUAUUUUUCCCAUGCGGCAAUCAUCAACAGAACCUGAGUGGCAGCUCUGUGCUGUUGAAGGACCAUAUAGAAUGAGGAAGAAACUUGAGCACUCCAAAUUUAAGAUAGAUACUAUUCAGAAUGUUCUAACCAGCAACCUUGGAUCAAAUGGUGUUAAGAUGAUCAAUAAAGAGGAUGGAGAAUUGUUAACAUCUGGGUCAGAUACAAUGUCAGGCUUGAAUCUUUUGACCUACGGCACUGAGCCGAAGGAUCUUGAUGCUGUUGAGUUUUCAUCAUUCAAAGAUGACGAUGACAUAUUCAAAGGAGGAAGCACAAAAUCAGCUCCAAUUGGCUGGACCGAUGAUAAAAGCAGCAUUAAUGAACAGAGCCUUCAUUCUGCGACGGAAUUUGGAGCAAAAUCAAGUUCCCUUUCUUUUCACAUGACUGAGAGUCACCAGGUUAAAUCUGAACUUAGUUCACCAAGGAGGGCACCUUCAGUCAAAGGUACUGAUGCAAGAACCUCAGAGGAUAAAUCAGAAAAGGAGUUGCUUGACAAUGGUGAGUAUCUUAUCAGGCCUUAUCUGGAGCCCUAUGAGAAAAUAAGGCAUAAAUACAACUGUGAACGGGUUGCUGGUCUUGAUAAGCACGAUGGAAUAUUUCUAAUUGGAGAACUUUGCUUAUACAUUAUCGAGAACUUCUACAUUGAUGAUUCCAAUUGCAUUUGUGAAAAGGACAGUGAAGAUGAGCUCUCUGUCAUCGAUCAAGCUUUAGGUGUGAACAAGGAUAUAAUGGGAAGCAGUGAAUCUCAGUUGAAAUCACCUUCCACUUGGGGUGGGACAGCAAAGGUCUUGCUUGGUGGCAGAGCAUGGGCAUAUAACGGAGGUGCUUGGGGUAAAGAGAAGCUUUGCAGCAGCAGCAACCUGCCUCAUCCAUGGCAUAUGUGGAAGCUUGAUAGUGUUCAUGAGUUGCUGAAACGUGAUUACCAGCUCCGCCCUGUUGCAAUUGAAAUUUUCAGCAUGGAUGGUUGCAAUGAACUUCUAGUUUUCCACAAAAAGGAGAGAGAGGAAGUUUUCAGAAAUCUGAUCGCCAUGAAUCUCCCGCGGAAUAGCAUGUAUGGAUUCUUAAUCCUUUGCAACUCUAGAUGCCUAGUAGUUACCAUGUGCAUGUGUAGCAUUAAGACUUGCUAUUCAAAACACUUAAUUGCCUGUCUAUAUAAUUAUCGUGUCAUGAAAGGUACUCCCUCCAUUCCAAAUUAUAAGAUGUUUUGCCUUUUCUAGAUACAUAGUGUAUAUCUAAGUGCAUAGCAAAAGCUAUAUAUCUAGAAAAGCCAAAACAUCGUAUAAUUUGGAAUGGAGUAAUGUGUACCAAUUCAUGACUUUGUGCUUCAGAAAAAUUAACAUUCAUGUUUCAUUCUGAGGGAAGUUACCUUUUUUUGUCUGCAGAUUGCAUGUUAAACAUGCGACUGUCAAUUUUUAUUGUCAUAAGUUCUGGUAUUUAGGAUCUAUAGUUUCAAAACAAGUAUAUUCCUAUUUCCUAAUUCCCAGAGGUUCAUGUCUCACCCUUUUACUCUUUGCCCGGUAGUUCUGUUUACUAGAAUUGUCAAGCUUGAUUUUGCUGGGAAGAGCUGUCUAUUUUCAUAAGAAAUUAAGAUAUCGAUUAUGCCUUUUUACUAGCAAUUAUUACAUUUGCUAUAUGUUCUUCCUUCUUGCCUCAUUCAGUUAAUAGUUUAGGAUGUUUUCUUUAUCUUGUGCAUUCUAUGAACUAUUUGAACUUGUAGGACCUGGCAUUUUUUUGCUAUUACUUAUCAUUAGAUUUGGCAUAGGAGCUUUGUGUCUUUGUUAACAAUUGAAGAAAAUAUGCCUUUCCACAGGUUGGACACAACCAUAUCAGCAUCCUCUAAACAGGAGAGUGGUGAGGGGAGCCGUCUUUUUAAAGGCAUGGCAAAAUCAUUUUCUAAAAGAUGGCAAAGUGGAGAAAUUACAAACUUCCAAUAUCUCAUGCAUCUAAAUACACUUGCCGGUCGAGGGUACAGUGAUCUCACACAGUACCCAGUAUUUCCAUGGGUUCUUGCAGAUUAUGAGAGCGAUGCUUUAGAUCUGAGGAAUCCACAGACAUUUCGCAGGCUUGAUAAACCCAUGGGAUGCCAAACGGAGGAAGGAGAAGAGGAAUUCCGCAAGAGGUUGGUUCAUUUAGCAUCCAUUUGUAUGCUUUUGUUUCUCUUUCAACUUUCAAUUAGAAAAACUAACAUCUUUGAUUUUGCUAAACGCUGGGGUCCAUAUAACUCAAUUGGAAUUUAUUGUUUUGUUCCUUUCAGAUAUGAUAGUUGGGAUGACCCUGAUGUACCAAAGUUCCAUUAUGGCUCUCAUUAUUCAAGUGCUGGGAUUGUCCUUUUCUAUCUCUUAAGGUUGCCUCCUUUUAGCACAGAAAAUCAGAAGCUGCAGGGUGGACAAUUUGACCAUGCAGAUCGCUUAUUCAACAGUGUGAGGGAUACAUGGGUCAGCGCUGCGGGCAAAAGUAACACAUCAGAUGUGAAAGAACUAAUUCCUGAGUUCUAUUAUUUGCCUGAAUUUUUGGAGAACAGUUUUAAUCUGGACCUGGGCGAGAAACAAUCAGGAGAGAAGGUAUACUCUCACAAAUUGUGUGCAAAUCUUUGCACUAUACUAGAAAGUUCAGUUCAGUUGGGGGCAAACAUGUAACUUCUUUAAAUGAUGCUUUCAGGUUGGUGAUGUUGUUUUGCCACCUUGGGCUAAAGGCAGUGCUAGAGAAUUCAUUAGGAAGCAUCGGGAAGCAUUGGAAUCAGAUUACGUGUCUGAGAAUCUGCAUCAUUGGAUUGAUCUUAUUUUUGGAUAUAAGCAGAGAGGAAAGGUAUUAAGCAUACCUUCAUCUCUACAUUUGCAUUUUAUCCCUAGCACUAGCAGUGUUGCUGUAAUCACCGUAGCACAAAUAUGUUUCGGUUUGAAAUAAGGAUAGUCUUCUUUCUACUCUUGAACAUACAGGAUUUGUGAUCACAAAGUGAGCUAUAAUUUUGCCUUUUUAUUGAAGUGUCUUCUAGUCUUCUACUGAUUCAUUAUUUUGUGCCAUCUGACUAUAGUUAUUAAAUCAUGCAUAGUUUUGUUUUCAUCCUAGGGAGAGCAGGACUAUGAGUUAAUGAAUCAAUCUGCUCCGUGUUAUGUUCUCCAUUUUACUUAACAUCUCAGAUGUAAUCUUGACCAACGAUUUCUAUAUAUUAUGUUGGGAAUACUUUUUUUUUAGCUUUUGUGAGCACAAAGUGAUUUGUAAUGUGAAACAGAGGGUAUUACAGUAGGUCUUUGUUAUAUACUUUGUUUGGUAGUAUCUCUCAUUUAUUAUGUGAUUUCUGAUAUUUAUUUUCUUUUUUUAUAUAUAUGGUAGGCAGCUGAAGAUGCUGUCAAUGUCUUCUAUCACUACACAUACGAAGGCAAUGUUGACAUAGACGCAGUAUCAGAUCCUACCAUGAAGGCUUCAAUACUAGCACAAAUCAACCAUUUUGGUCAGACCCCAAAACAGUUAUUCCAGAAACCACAUCCACAGAGGCGGACUGACAGGAAAGUACCUCCUCAUCCUCUACGGUACAGCGCCUAUCUAACACAGCAGGAGAUUCGCAAGACAGCAUCUUCGGUGUCCCAGGUUGUCUCCUACAAUGAUAAAAUCCUAAUUGCUUCAGUUAACUGCUUGCUCAAGCCGCUAACUUAUAAUGAAUACAUUUCCUGGGGAUUCCCUGACCGAAGCUUGAGAAUAUUAACAUAUGAUCAGGAUAGGCUUUUGUCUACACAUGAAAACCUUCAUGGUGGUAGUCAAAUUCAGUGCACUGGAGUGAGCCAUGAUGGCAACAUUCUCACCACUGGUGGUGAUGAUGGAGUUGUUGCAGUGUGGAGAUUUGUGAAGGAUGGCAUCCGCCGUCUCCUGAGAAUGGAGAAGGCUUUGUGUGCUCACACGGGCAAGAUAACUUGUGUCUCUGUCAGCCAACCUUACUCAUUGAUUGUCUCAGGCUCUGAUGACUGUUCUGUUAUCUUGUGGGACCUAACAAGCCUAGUCUUUGUGAAGCAGCUACCAAGGUUCCCAGCAUCAGUAUCCGCGCUACAUGUGAACAACCUCACUGGUGAGAUCCUGACUGGUGCUGGUGUUCUUUUUGCUGUUUGGAGCAUCAAUGGGGACUGCCUUGCUGUGGUGAACACCUCCCAGCUUCCUUCUGACCUCAUCUUGUCUGUGACAAGCACGAUACACUCAGAUUGGCAGGACACAAACUGGUACGUGACAGGUCAUCAAAGUGGUGCAGUUAAGGUAUGGAAGAUGGUGCACUGCUCGUCUGAUGAAGCAGUAAAGAGCAAAUCGCCUUCGGUAUCUUCUGGUGGGCUUACCCUUAACGGCCAAACACCAGAGUAUAGGCUACUUUUGCAGAAGGUGCUCAAGUCACAUAAACACCCUGUCACUGCCCUUUGUAUACCACCGGACUUGAAGCAGCUUCUGAGUGGGGAUGCCAGCGGCCACUUGCUCUCAUGGUCAUUGAAAGACGACAGUUUCAAGGGUUCAUAGCACAGAGGAAUAUAGGGAUUCAGCUGCACAUAUAGAGAACACUGAUUAAAUUAUACCACUGAUGUCUUCCUCGUCCAGAACUGAGCAUUGGCGUGCAUUGACGAAAGAGCUCAGAUCAGCAAGCUUCUACAUGGUAUAUUAAAUGUUCCCUGGAUGCCCCAUGCCUGGGCCAUACAGCAGCAGUCCGGGCAGGAGAAAGAAUACAACAGACACAUUGAAAGAAUGAAGUGGACGAGGCGAUCGAGGCAUCGCUGCGCUCACAUCAUAAUCUUAUACUGUGAAUUAUCAGAUGGUUGUACCUUCUCUUCUUGUUUUUUUGAGGAGAAAAGGAUUCAUGUGGGCUGUAGGUGCCAGUGUUUGUAAAGUCUGUACAGGGUAAUUUUGGUGGUGCCGGUUGAGGUGGACGAUGAUGGUGUACUGUCUCGAUGUUUUGUUUGGGGUUGCGGAAGUAAGGAAAGAGGUGUUAGGUUCAUUUUCUCUCCUCCCCCCCUAGAAGUGUUGUUCAUUCUUUGACUGGGUGUAAUUUGAGCACCCUUGUGUUCAGUAAAUCUAUUUGCACAUACAUGCAAGAGUUUUGCUGAACAAAGCGACAAGCCCCCUUCCAUGGUCCAUGGUUCGAUUGGAAAUCCUAUUUGAAGUCAAGUGUCUAGAACUGGAACUUGGGGAAGGUUAAAUGUGUGUAUAUCAAGCCACCAUUUCGCACAUUCGUGAUGUAACACUAAUUAAGUGUAGCCGUGCUCCUUCCGUUCACCACGGAUUAACAAGCGGAUAGGACACAUUCCCAGUCGUUUGGUCCGACCGACGCCUCGGAUCUGACUGACUGCGUCGGCAGCCAUGAUCCCCUGAUACAGCCAUCUACAAGACUUGGAGGCACAAAAUCGCAGAUGUCUCAACUCUGUUCUUCGCUCUGCAAGUGUUUUUCAGCUGGACAGGUGGCAAAGACCAGAGAGGCACGAGGUGCAAUGGCCAGCUGUUGAAAGCAUCGCUUCAACCGACAACCGGGCUUUACGUUUUGGUGAGAGGCCAUGUGAUCAGUCAAAGGAUACUCGCGUCCGGUCCAACAUCUUCUAAAAAUAUGCUAUAUACUACUAGUAACAUAUAUGGUAUUGCAUCUGCUUAUUAAAACUUGCACAGCUGGUUAGAGCAUCUCCAAGAGAUUUUUAUAUUUUGUUCUCUAAAGUAUAGUGUUUGCCAACUCCUAAUUAGUAUGAAAAAAAAGUCAUUUUCUAUAUUUCUAUCCUAAAAAGUUUUUUCAGCAUUUUUUUUCCUACGACUUGGUCUCAUAUUUUGUGAACCCUAAAUUUUAUUUCUGUACGUGUUUAAACCCUUUUACGAACCAUGUCUUUUUUCCUUUUACUAGACGGGCCGAGAAACUUUGGAUGUGCGCUUCUAGUCCACGCGGAUAUAUACGCGAUCGGGAUAAAAUUUUACGAGGUCAGAAAAGAUGGGAAAGGAAGAUGUCAAAAUAUUAGAGAUAGUUUUGUUUUAGUUUUACCAAAAAAUUAAGAAUAAGAAAACCGAAGGACAAACUGUUGGAGAUGCUUUAUGCAUAGCCUAGUUUAGUGUACUACGUAUAAUACACAAAGUCCUACACUUCUACACGUCAGCGUGCGGUGGAACGUUAAACGUAAACUGGAUAAGACUAUUGCUAUAUCUUAUCCAGAUUCCUCAAUAGUCAAUACCUAACUCGCCCGAAUCUCCUGUGAUAUUUUCUGACUUUUUGUGGCUUAUGAAUCAUGUGAAAAAGCGAAUAAUCAUAUAGCUACUUUCUGAAACAGAAUAAAGAAUCGUAACCUGACGGAUGAAAAUUCAGUAAACGCGGUCACACGCGUCUAGUAUUUCUAAGCUCUCAGUAUGCAUAAUUUAUUUAUUAAAAAAAACUUGAAGAUUCUCUUAGAUCGCAUGAGAAUAAAACAUUUUGAUGCAAAAUCGCAGCAAAAUUUAUCCAAAAUUAUUGGUUCCAAACAAAACAAGGACAGCGACAGCAUGAUGAUUAGGAGACAGAGAAUGGAUUAGGGAAAGCAUCAAUCCAGUGGACGGCGUCUAGAUUUGAGAACUCGAAGGCAAUUCUUCCACGAUAGAUAUGGGAUUCUGGUCGAAAGUUUCUCUCCGCAUGUGCUAAGACCAUUUCUAAUAGAGUUUUACAGUAUUAAAUAUGCUGAUGUAGCACCAUAUUAAUGAAGAGAGAUGUGAUAAAAAUUUUAUGGGAUUGUAGAGAGUUUCAUGGGAAUGUAACUUUUCUACACUGAUUCCAAAAUAUAGAUGUGUUAAAAACUGAGCCACGAAACCUGCAUUGAGGAUGACUUAAUCAAAUUUCCAGCUGACUAUGCUCAAUCUACCAUGGUUUAUAGGAUAAUAGAGGUUAUUGUGACUUUUUCCACGUCAGCGUGUGGUGGAAUCUUAAAACUAAAACUGGAUGUGGAUAAGCAAGAAACUUGACCAUAGAAUACAAGUUGUCUUGCAUCAAAACUAUUCCAUGAUACUUUGAUCACAAUAGCCGACUCAAAAAUAUUCCAAGAUACAUCUACUCCACAAUAGACGAAUCGAAUCGAAUCUCUUUUGACGAUUCAUAAACCAUGCAACAUCGGUUGCCUUUUAUGAUGCAGCUUAUCCAAAUUCCUCCGUAAUCUUCCCGGAAAUAAAUAAUCGCAAAUAUGGCUUUAUCCACCAACCGACCAAAGGGUAAAAUGGGAAACGGAAAAAGUCUAUAUAUGUUGACUUGUGUGGGCUUGUGGCAUUCAGAGCGAAUCCUUUGCCGUAGCAUAGCAAACAGCCAAGGGAGAGUGGGGAGACUAGCGAAAGAGGACAGCGCACGGAAAGCGAGGAGAGGGGAAACAGAGAGGUCGCAUCGGACGGCGGCGAGAUGCUGGCGGUGUUCGAUCCCACGGUGGCCAAGUGCCCGGAGGGCCUCCGCAGCCCGCCGGUCGCCGGAUCGGCCGCUGCAGCAGCAGGCGGAGCCGGCGCGGGCGCGCUGAUGAAGGGCUUCUCCGACUCGCACGACGGCGCCGUCACCGUCAGCCUGGGCCCCUCCGGCGCGCUGGCCUACUCGGCAGCCAACCAGAACCCCCUCGUCCCAAGGUGCUGUGCUCUGCUUCCCGGCCCGUGCUCGCUCGCUCGCUUGCUUGCCGAAUAUGUGCUUCUGUGAUGUGACGCCUCUGCGUGAUGCGAAAAUGGUUCGUGUUUGUGGACCAUGUUUGUGUGCUUUGGCUGAGAUUCGGUUAUGUGAUCUUUUCCUGGAGGUUGGAUUGGAACGGGGUGAAACUUUUUGAGGUUCCCGAUGUGUGAUCUUAUUUUUCUCUAGUUUUUUAGGCUACCGAACGAUGUGGACUUCGAUCAGUCCUGCAGAUGCUUUCCACGGCGAUUCGAGGAGAGAUUUCUUCUGUUUUUAUGUAUAGAUGUUGUUUUCAUGAUGGUUUUGUCUCGUGGGUAUAAACUUGGGGCGUUUUUGUGGCGUAGUUGUUGGUCAUGCUCUUCUAGUUGUCUAGAUCUGCUCCGUUUGUAGAGUCUGCAAGUUCGCGAUUUUUUCCGGACCAAAUCAACACACGUUUGUGAUGACGCGGUGCUUUGUACGAAUUUGAACAUUGGGGUUGUUAGAUGUAUUGUUGGUUCAUGCCUAUAAACUAUUUGAUCAGUCGAGUUCUCUGUGAGUUCAGUUUGUGGAAUCAUGAAUGCAUUGAUUCACACACACGCCACAAGCUACACCUGAUAGCAUGGUACAGUAGUGCUGUUUAUCAGGUACUAUUGACUGUGCUACAUUGGAUUGUUUUCAAGUAAUACCUGGAAUCACUUUACUUAAGAGAUGCUUUUGAUUCUAAAUGAAAUUUGACAAUUUGACAAUCCAUCUUACAUCGAUUAGGGAAGGAAGAAAGAGUAUCCCUAGUUUACAGUCACAUGGCACGGUCAUUUACACAUUAUUCACAUUUAGGAUGUAUGUGCUUCUAGUAGUUUGUGGUUCUCUUAGAUUUGUCGUGGGAUUGAUGUUUUUUCACCUUAAACUGAGCCAUUUAAUCCUAGCUAUGAAUUAUAGUUUCAGAUCCAAUCAUCUUAUCUGGCAUAUAUGAUUGUUAUCCAACAUGAAGAGACUUUUGUGGAGAUGGGUAUGGGUAUGGGUAUGAGUCUAUGAGAACUUUGGUUGAACCUUCUGUAUUGCUACUCUCGUUCACAUGCUCUCUAUGUUACAUAUGUUAUUUGAAUAUCUGUCGUUGUACUGAUGGGCUAGGAUGGCCAAUAGCAUGGCCAUGUCUUGUCGACACAACUGAAUUACAUGUCAAUUUGACACUUGUAAGCAUUUGUUCCUUGUCAACAGGGAUGAUGAUGACAGGUGAUGUUUAUUAUUAGGUAGUAACAUGUAGUUCCAACAAUUGAAAAUGGUUGUGGACCUGUCGGAAGUUGAGUCCCUUUAAACAAAAUGAAGUGCAUUGUACUUUAAGCUAUUAUUAGCCUGCUCAGUUUUGCACAAUACAAAACAGAAUUAGCAUUGAUGGCAUCCAAAUACGAAAACAACAUAAUAGUAGGUCUGCUUUUAUUUGAAGUGUCAUGCUGUUGGUGCUGAGAAAGUCAAUCUCUGGAAGGAAAUUUCUCAGACUCGUUUUAGGCUUGCAGGAUUUGGUCAACUGCAUUUCAUGGAGUUUCUUUUAAAUAAGAUCAUUUUGACUCGGAAAAAAAAGAUGCAUCGCAACACAUACACACUUAUCUCGAAUAGUGAUUGAUCCUGGGAGUUCUUUUGUUAUUUGGUAUUUGGUAUAUCCCUACAGUUGAUUGCAUUACAUUUAGCUGAUUCUGCACCUUGUUCUCCUGUCCAGGUUGUUUGGUGCUGUGAAUGACAUCUUCUGCCUGUUCCAAGGGCACAUUGAGAACAUUGCCAACCUGAAGCAGCAUUAUGGCCUGAGCAAGACUGCGAAUGAGGUGACUAUCCUCAUAGAGGCCUACAGGACCCUGAGGGACAGGGGUCCAGUCCCAGCCAGCCAGGUUGUGAGAGACCUCAGUGGGAAGUUUGCGUUCAUCCUGUAUGACACCCUGUCGAAGUCCACCUUUGUCGCUGCUGUAAGUUCACCUAUUGUAAUAUACAAUUCUUUCCUCAACCGUACCUUUGUUGACUGUGGAUUGAGCCUUGUUGCAAUGCCAAUGUUUAAAUGCAGGACGCUGAUGGCAGUAUCCCUUUCUUCUGGGGUGUCGAUUCUGAGAACCACCUUGUGUUUUCUGACGAUGCUGGGCUCCUCAAGACAGGCUGCGGCAACUCGUAUGCGCCAUUCCCCAAAGGUAACUACAACAACAGAACACCAUUUCUUUUCCAGUCAUCCUUUAUGCACAAAUCAUCUUCUAGUACUUGUCAUUUUUUUUCGCGAACAUGCCUUUCAUUCUACUUACUAUACAUGUCCACCCCUCAGGUUGCUUCUACACCACCUCCGGUGGGCUGCAGAGCUUCGAGCACCCGCUGCACGAGGUCAAGGCGGUGCCGCGCGUGGACAGCCAAGGCCAGAUGUGCGGCUCCACCUUCAAGGUCGACAGCGAGAGCAAGAAGAAGCAGGACGCCAGCAUCCCCCGUGUCGGCAGUGCCGCCGACUGGUCCAACCAGUUCUGAUCGUCUGGCUUUGUUCACCAUCUUUUUGGUACCCAUUACCCCGGCUGCCUACUACGAGGUGCCGAGCUGUGUAUCUGAUGGAUCCAUGAGACGAUUUCUGCCACGUUUCUUUCACACUUGUCGAACGUCGUGAGAUUCUCACAUCGCGUUUAUCUACGCUAUCGUGUAACUGAUAUACUAAUCAUACGGAGUGUUCCAGGUGGUGGUAGAUGUACUGCAGAAUCUAUCUCCCGUAUGUUUCAAUAAAGCUCAAUAAGAGGCUCGAUUUGGUUCUGUGGAUUUGUGAUGCUAAUAAGAGUAUUACUUUUGAGUCGGUUUUUGUUGCACCCUUUUCUUUUUCUUCUCGUUUCAUUACCCCAAAGCAUAACGUUGGGCUGUGUCUGCCUGGCGGUUACCGUUACCGUGGAGCAGUUGGGCAACUGGGGCACAGUGGGCAUACGACUAUUGGGUCAAUGGGUGUCCAUGACAACCACUGGGCAAUACUGCAUGGACUCUGCCUAGUUCGUAAGCUUUGUUUGCAUGUGUGCAUGUGCUCAAAGAUAUCUAACAAACCAUAGACACAGUAGAAAUUCAUCCUAAUUGCAAAACACUCAAGUAUUGGGGAAAUGUGCAUCACAGAUGAGCUGAAUCUGCAAGCCAUUCAGCAGUAUUUUUCUCUUACAACAAAUCAAUAUUUUUCUCUUAUAACAAAUCAGCCAACUUUAUGUCAUGGCCUGUUCGCAUGUGCAUGUACCUCGCCCCUAGUAUAGAAAUGCAUCAUUUUAACCUGUCCCAUUCCUCCUAUCCUAUCUGAACAUCUGACAUGGAUGCUUGAACAACCCAAAAACCCAAUACCUUGAAGAACCCACCAAAAUUCUAACACCAAUUUUUUUUGGUUUUGGUGUUUAUUUCUCAAAAAAAAAAUUUACAAAAUUUUUCAAAUUCCCUGUCACAUCGAAUCUUGCGGCACAUGUAUAGAGCACUAAAUGUAGAUAAAAAAUAACUAAUUGCAUAGUUUAUAUAUAAUUGCGAGACGAAUCUUUUGAGCCUUAUUAUUUUAUUAUUAGACAAUAUUUGUCAAAUACAAACGAAAGUAUUACAGUGUUCAUUUUGUAAAAAUUUUUGAAACUAAACAAGACCUUGGCCUUGUUUAGUUCCACCCAAAAACCCAAAAUUUUUCAAGAUUCCCUGUCACAUUGAAUCUUUAGACGCAUGCAUGAAGUAUUAAAUAUAGACGAAAAUAAAAACUAAUUGCAUAGUUUGGUCGAAAUUGACGAGACGAAUCUUUUGAGCCUAGUUAGUCCAUAUUUGGACAAUAAUUACCACAAACAAACGAAAGUGCUAUAGUGUCGCGAAAUUUUUCCCUUUCGAAAACUAAACACGGCCCUUAUGUCCCUAUUUAUACCUGGGCAACGGGCCGGGCCGGCCCGGCCCGGCACGACACCGGGCCGGCCCGGCACGUUGCCUAACGGGCCGAGGGGGCCCGUCGUGCCCUGCGGGCCGUGCCUUACCGGCCUGCGGGCCUGACCUCCGGCCCAGGCACGGGCCCGUGGGCCAUUUUGCGUACCGGGCGGGCCCGUCAGGCCGGGCCAGCCCAUAGCCCGUUGAACAAUAACAUAUCAAUAAAUACAGAUUUAAAAGCAUAUUUCAAACACAUUCAUCAAUUCAUCACUUCAUCAGUAUAAAGAACACAUUCAAAUACAUAUGACAGAUGUAGAGAAUAGAUUUAGAUAUCAAAAUGAGUUAUUUUAUACAAUGUUGUUAUUUGGCGGGCCGGGCCGUGCCGGCCCGCGGGCCUGAAGUGCGGCCCAAGCACGGCCUGCAGCCCCGUGCCGUGCCAGCCCGGGCCCAAUGACCUUCGGGCCGGGCCGGGCUAGGGCCGGGCCAAAAUGACGGGCUUCGGGCCGUGCUCACGGGCUCGGGCUGCAUGCCCAGGUAUAUCCCUAUUUCAUUUUGCAAAUAGUUUAGGACCAAAAUAUUUUGGACAUGUUUACUUCCAAAAUGCAAAAUAGCAAAAAAUUUUGCAUUUGACCUAAAAUAUUUUGGAACUGGCCUUGUUUACUUCCCCAAAUAUUUUGCAAAAUGUUCCAGAUUCUCCGUCACAUCGAAUUGUACGGCACAUGCAUGAAGCAUUAAAUAUAGGUAAAAAAGAUAACUAAUUACACAGUUUGCAUGUAAUUUGUGACGAAUCUUUUGAGCCUAGUUAGUCUAUAAUUGAAUAAUAAUUAUUAAAUAAAACCAAAAGUGUUACUGUUCAUAUUUUGCAAAUUUUUUGCAAAGGCCGUAAAAAAGCAAAAACUUUUUAAAAUUUCCCGUCAUAUCAAAUCUUAUGACACAUGUAUGGAGUAUUAAAUAUAGAUGAAAACAAAAACUAAUUGCACAGUUUUUACAACUAAACAAGGCCUAAACAAGGCCUCAGUGUCAACAGCGUGGAGCCCAGCCCUACGAGUGGGCUUGGCAGUCUGGCCCAGUCAGUUUGCUCGGCCCGUAUCGAUGCACAGUGGUGAAGCUAGAGUAAAUUAAAUGAAAGUGUAUUUAGUUUGUGCGGGUAUAGACAUUUUUCGUGGAGUUGUAUAUAUGAUAAAAUUUUAAAUCUAAUCAAUGUUUUUAUAAUUUGGUUCGCCCCUAGUUACAAUGUAGGCUCGCCCCUGUCGACGCAUCCUUAUAAAAAAACAAAAAACAAUCUAGUGAAACGCGCGUCCCAAGUCUGAAGAAAAAAAAAGUCUGAAGGCUGCGCAAGAGCGAACCCGCCAGGCUCGGCUUCGUGGUUCGUCUUCCCCUUCUCGGGCUCCGCGUCGGCGCGUCCCAUCACGCGCUCCUCUCUUUUUUUUUCCCUUUCUUUUUAUUACAAACAAAAACUUUUUAAUUCCCACCUCCGUUUCUCUGUCUCUCUCUCCUGCUCGUCCUCCCUCCCCCCCUUUCUCUCGCCCGUACGAAACCCUAGGCUCCGCCGCCCAAAACCUCGCCGCCGCGCCGCCGUCGGGCGGCGCCCCAUGGCCCCGGCCUUCUCCGUCCCUGACGCAGAAGACCUCCCGGCCCGCAGAUCCGACGCCUCCGACGUCGCAGGCAACGUUUGGGACCUCGCGACCCUCCCCACGCCCCCCGCCGGCGGCGGCCGCGAGAUAUACAUCUACCGCAACACGUUCAACCUCGUCCCGCGCUCCAUCGGCGGCGGAGCCGGCGGCCUCAGGUCGCUCAAGUUCUUCGGCAACGAUGUGGAGGUGCUACCCGCGGAUGCCGGGGGCGAGCUGGACGGGCUCGAGAGCCUCCAGGUCAAGGUGUCCGCGCCCAGGGUCUCAGGGGCGCCGCUCCGUCGGAUGCAGGCUCUCAAGGAGCUUGAGCUCUCAAUGGUGCCGCCCAGGCCGUCCUCGUGCUCCAUACUGGCGGAGGUUGCCGGGCUCAAGUGCCUUACGAAGCUCACCAUUUGCCACUUCUCAAUAAGGUAUGUGCAAAACCACAAAUUCGAUUCCCCGUGCUUGCCGGGUUUUUUUUUUCGUUUUCAAGCUUAAAUGUGGUUGCUUUAUUGUGUUCUCAGCUGUCCCCCCCCCCCCCCCCCUACUAAUUAUUCAUCAAUUCAAUUCAAUUAAGUAGUAUGACGGUAGGGGAAAUGGUGUGCGUGACUAAGCUUGGAUGGGUAACCAUGAUUAGUAAUGCCUGUUCGUUUUAGGCUGAAUUUCUCUGUGCUAGGUAGGUACUGGUAACCGUGAUUUCUUUUGUCAAGUGUUAAUUUAGGUUGACCAAAUGUUGUUGUGUUGUGUAUAUGUUUUUUUUUUGCUUCUGUCAUGAAUUAAUUCCAUUUGUUUACUGUUCAAUUCAUCACAGUACAGAAUUACUGAAUUGUGGAUAGCUGCUAUUUGUAUUUCAAAUACACUAGAAUGCAUGUGCAUUAUUUAUUGUGCUUCAUUGCUUCAGUGGUGGUGCUUUCAAACAUAGCACAUUCAUUGCUUCUGUGACGGUUGCUUUCCGUGGAAUAACCAUAUCUUUCCUUGUUGCUGAAAAUAUAAUGGCAGCCAUGUGCCAUGUGCAACCUUUAAAUUGCUGAAUCACUGUUAGGGUCAUCAAGAGUUUCAUCCAUCUGUGGGAUGUGGACAUGGGUUCUCUUAGUUUCUGGAGUGUAAAUACUGAUGUGCUGAUGUUUCAGAUCAGUUGGGUACAACUUUUAGGCUUUUAGCCAGGGUGUGUUUUCUUCUUCUUUUUUGUGUGUGUGUUUGGGGGGGGGGGGGGGGGGCAGGACAGGGAUGUCCAUGUGUUUUGGUUCAGGGACAGAUAGAAUGAACCGUCCCCAAGAGAGACUAUUCCCCUAAGACGUCAUACCUCAAAAACAGAGGUACCAACCAGUUCCCUAUCGAUGCUGUUCUACUCUGUUACGGCAUCCUUCCUUCCUGCCUCGCGCCGUUCUUCCUCUGUGCACGCCAUUGGCGGGCCAGCCGCGCGCCACCCACAUGCUACCCUGCACACAUGCACGCCACCACAUGUCCCCACCACUGACAACAGCGCAGGGACAAAUGCAGCAGGCAAAGCCGCACUGGCGAGGGAGGGUGGCCUCUGUGGUAGCCACGCCACCGCGCUGGUGAGGGAGCGCAGCUGGGCCAUGCGGAGCUGCCUCACUAAGCAGGGCAGGCAGCGGUGGGCACAGAUGCUGCUCUGGCUAUGUAUUUGCUCUUGUCUUUUUUAUAUGAAUGUGCUAUGUUUUGGUAGAGGAAAGGAGGAAGAAAUGGAAAAAAUGAGUAGCACACGUGGGCCCACCUUGACGGUUGCGAACGGAGGCAAAACGGCUAUCCACCCUAUCCUUUUUCGUCCCUCAUGCCAAACACAAAACAUGGUUGAUUCCUUCCUACAACCAGACAUGGAGAUGAGAUCAUCCCAUCCCAGAAAACUGUGGCGACACCAUUCUCGUGCUGUCCCACCUCAUCCCAAAACAAAUCAGGCCAUUUAGGCAACACCUUUACUAAAUGAGCACCAGUGCUAUGUGCUUUGAACACAAUGGUAGAAUCACUUUUGCUAAACUUUUGAUUCUGUGAUGCAUUAUACUUACAUGUAGUUUCUCACACUUUUUUUGUUGGAACCAGGUCUUGUUGAGGUUUUCCUCUUUUUUCAUUCUAGUGCCAUUUUGUGAUAUCUUCAGUUAAACUUUGGUCAUUUAUGAAUAUUUCGAAUGAAUACAUGAAAAUAUUAUAGGUAAAUUACUUCCACUGCAUUAAAGUUUUAUUUGGUUACAAAUCAGUGGACAUAGCUGAUGUCUUUGGGGACCGUGAUUGUGUCAGAUAUGUGCUGCUUUAAUGAUUGGAGUACUUGACUGAAUUGCCUUGUUGUAUGAGCUACUCUAUUGAGUUUUGACUGAUUGUUACCCUUGUCACAAACUCACAAUGUACAGGUACCUCCCUCCUGAGAUUGGUUCCCUCAGGAAGCUCCAAGAGCUUGACCUCUCAUUCAACAAACUGAAGAACUUGCCUAACUGUAUAAUUGAGUUGAGUGCGCUGAAGUUCCUCAAAGUGACCAAUAAUAAGUUGGUGGAUGUACCCUCUGGAAUCUCCUCUUUGAGGUGUCUUGAAAGCCUUGACUUAUCAAACAACAGAUUGACUUCUCUUGGUUCAGUUAAACUUAUUUCUAUGCUUACGCUGCAGUAUUUAAACCUUCAGGUAUUUUCUCUAUCUACUGCGUCUUUUCUCAUGAGUAAAAUUACAUGUUUCUUCUUUAUUUGCUAUAUUCUAAUUGUUGUAACAUCUAUUCCACUGUCUAUACUAGUGUUUCUGCUAUAUUUGUUUUAUGUGGUUCAAUAUAGCAAUAUGUAUCCAUUUAAAUGUGUUGAAAAUUUAAGGGCAGAUGUGUUAGAGGAGGUAUUUAGCCCAAAACUAAAGCAUGUGUUGAUUUUAUGGGGAGCAGGAGGGGUCACUUGUUUUGUGCUAAUGAUGUUAUACUUAUUACUCGUUGGUGCUAUUUAUUUUAUAUCAUGGAUGCUGUUUUUAUAAAUUUAUAAAUACCAUACAUUGACAUUUUGUUUUCUGUUUCAAGUUUAAUAGGCUCUCCCAUUCCUAUGUAAUUCCUUCAUGGAUAUGCUGUGAUAUGAGGGGAAACGUUGAAAAUGCUAUGAAGGGUUGCAAGCUGAAGUACACAGGUGUAGCGGACAUGAGUAGUUUAGCAGAAUCUACUACAUCAAGUCGUGCUUGCGACAGUUCCCUUUUAUGCUUACAACCAGAAGCUUCCCCGAAUUUGAAACACCAUGCCCCACAGAAAAUGAAGAAGGGCUGGAGGAGGCGGGAUUGCCUGCAACAACAAGCUCGCCAGGAGCGUUUGGAGUCAAGCAGGAGCAAGCUCAAUGAAAAAUAUAUAGAUGAAAUGGCUGUGACCAUGGCUGAAGAUGAAUGCCCUUCUAGUUUGCCUGAUAUGGAAAACAAGCUAGGCAUCAGAACAAUUGACGAAGAAACUUCAGUACAGGAUUCGUUGAAAGAAACGAGUUCUAUAUCUGAAGAUGUAUCUUCAAUAGUUGAUGAUGAUUUGGAUGGGCUUACAAAGGAUAGUGGCAUGAUGGUACAGGAUCACUAUGACGAGGAGAAACCUGAAUUCAAUAUGAGAGGUUACGAUGAUGACAAUUCUUGUAUCAGUGGGGAGCCUGCUUGUUUCAGUAGAGGCAGGAUCUGCAGCAUUGAAAAUGAACUAGAUGAUACUGCUUCAUCUGCCCAUGAUGUUGGUGAGAUUACUCGUGACAAUCCUUCAGCAACAUCCAAGUGUGCUUUAAAAUCUAAAAGGCACCCUGAUAUGGACAGCAAUCCUAAACCAAGCAAAUGCCCUCGACCAAUUGAUGAACGCUCAAAACUUUCAUAUAAAUACAGUGUGGAAUCAUUUUGCAGCAUAGAUGACCAUCUACCAGAUGGUUUUUAUGACGCAGGCCGAGAUAUGCCCUUCAUGUCAUUAGAUGAGUAUGAGAGGAGUCUUGGGCUGUAUGCACGGGAGGUUAUUCUCUUGGACAGGUUAGUGCCCAUUCCUAUCCAUAUGGGGCUGUCUACAUUCUUUUUCCAUGCUGUAUGUUUUAAUAUUCUUUUUGUUUUUCUUAGAGAACAAGAUGAAGAAUUGGAUACAAUUGCCUCUUCAGCACAAUUGCUGCUAUCUAGUUUGACAAGGCCAAGCUCUUUUGAAAUGGAGGAAGAUGCAGGCAAUGAUUUACUGAGGGCUUCAGUGCUCGCUUUGUUUGUUUCUGACUGCUUUGGUGGUUGUGACCGAAGUGCUUCUCUUGGGAGAACACGGAGAGCUAUUGUUAGCUUGAGGAAGGAGCAGCCUUUUGUUUGUACUUGUUCUGCUGGGAACUUAGGCGACAACAAUGAUGCUUCUAAGCAGACAAAUACUCUUUCUGGGCACUUUGAUUUUACUGGUCUGUGUAACAGAUCAAUACAUCUCAUCAAGGAAAGAAGAAAUUCGGGUAUUGUACCUAUAGGUGCACUGCAAUUUGGUGUUUGUAGGCACCGAGCUGUCCUAAUGAAGGUAGUAACCCUGUUUCCUGUGCCAGCUUCCAUUCUGUAUUUGUACUUUGACAUUCUGUAUUUGCACUUUGAAGUUUGAACACUGUAACCAUAUGCUUUGCAGUAUUUGUGCGACCGGGCAGACCCUCCAAUUCCUUGUGAGCUUGUGAGGGGCCAUCUUGACUAUACACCUCAUGCUUGGAACGUUGUUCCUGUUAGAAAAGGGAAUGGCUGGGUAAGGAUGAUUUUUGAUGCUUGUUACCCCACCAACAUAAAGGAAGAGACAGAUCCAGAGUACUUUUGCAGGUGAGCAGCUUGUGAUAUUAUAUUCCUAUAUUCUUUGUAAGUAGAAAUCGUUGUAACUUCCCUUGUGUUCCAUUCUUUUUGGCUGUUGUAUUUACAUGGAGAGCACCUGCAAUAAGAACUGCACCAUGCUUGCCCUAUCUCAUGGUCAAUAUUGCGUUAGCACUGUUUCGGCGUAUGCUAAUAUUGUGUCUGCCAUAAAGAAUGGCCUACAAAAUGCCACAUCACAGAUUUCUAAAACAGCUAAUUUCCAGUUUUUAGGUUCUGUUUAUAUCAUAUUCUGAAAAGAACAGCAUUGUAGAACAUUGUAUUGUAUUUGACUAUUUGCUACCUUUUGUAUGGUCCAUGAUGCUGCCAACAAGUUGUCAGUCCUAUCUUUACAAAUUUUCACCUGUGCAGGUUUUCGUUUUCCUGUACAAUUUUCAGUUAGAAAAUUUAUAAAAGCUAAGAAAAUAUCAUCACUUUGUGGCAGGCACUAAGCCCAUUUUUAUAUUUUCAAGAUUUGGUUGUUGCUGGUAGAUACUCUUUUAAUCCUUUAUUAUUUUGUUCACCUGAUGGUAGGGGAUCUUGUCUGCUGAUCUAGCACAUUAGUCUUGCUGUUUCAGGGAGGCGCUGACACAAGUAUUACAUGCUACAUACAAUUUCUUUCUGAAUCCAAGAUCAUCAUCUUAUGUUUGACUGAUCCAUUUAUCUCUGUGCUGUUUCAGGUAUGUACCGCUCAGUCGACUUCAAAUUGCACUCGAUGAUGAGGGCUAUACUCCUCGGUGUUCCUUCCCAUCAGUCUCAUCAUGCAAAGAAAUUGAAGUUACAGCUUCUAGUUCUGUCUAUCACUGUAAAAUUGGUGCUGUUGAUGCUGCUGCAAAGGUUUUUGUUCUUUCACCUGUUAUUCUUUGUGCCUUCUGUGUGGUAUUCUUUUGGGUGUAUGUACUUGACUUUGUUGCAAUUGCAGAUACGAUAUCUGGAUACUCGCAGUGCCUCAAAUGAUGAAGUUAAACUUUUUGAAUACAAGCUUCUGGGAGAAGUAAGAAUGCUGGGUGCGUUAAGGAAGCACAGAUCCAUAGUGAACAUAUAUGGACACCAACUUUCAUCUAAAUGGGUUCAAGUCGAAGGUGAUAAAGAAUAUAGGAUAUUGCAGUCUAUAAUUUUAAUGGAAUAUGUAAAUGGAGGUUCCCUUAAGGUAAAAAUCAUUUAUCAUGUUUAUGAAUUUCUCCUGUAUUGUUUCAACAUCAAUUCAGAUGUUCAUUUUUGGUACCGGACCUGUUAAUUUCUCAUCAGGGAUAUUUGACAAAGCUACUGAAGGAGGGCAAGAAGUGUGUCCCCAUUGAUCUGGCAGUUUACAUUGCUCGGGAAGUUGCUUGUGCAUUGUUGGAGAUGCACAAGAAGCUAGUUAUUCACAGGGACAUAAAAAGUGAGAAUGUUUUGGUUGAUCUGGAUUCCAAGAGGAAUGCUGGUACACCGAUUGUCAAACUCUCUGAUUUUGACAGAUCCGUUCCUUUGCAUUCUUUAUCCCAUACAUGCUGUAUAUCUCACCUUGGUACACACCCUCCCAAUGUUUGUGUUGGAACACCUUGUUGGAUGGCUCCAGAGAUUGUUAAGGCCAUGCAUGAAAAACACCACUAUGGACUGGUAAGAAUUUGUUAGAUAAUUAUGGUUUCGUUGUUUAUAUUGAUUAUAUUUGUACAGUUAUUGUGCAUGCUUGUUGGUGAGUUUGGUGGUUAUUUUGUUCUCAGCAACCUGCAUUGUGAAAUAUUAUAUGGUUUAUUGAGUUAUACACCAAUGUUUUGAAUGUGACUUCUAUUUGAAAUAUGUUCUGAUCUGGGAAUCAAUUACCUUGCAGUAUCAAAUUUAGUCCUGAUCUUGUGGAGACAUAUUCACACUUCAAACAUUACUCUGACCUUAAAUAAACAUUACUUUGACCACUAUAACUAGCAUGCAACCUGUGUGAAUGCAUGUCCGUUGGAUUCACAUUGCAAAUCCACUUUAAUUUUAGUAAAUUGAGAUCCAUUUGAACUGAAGAACUGUGUUAGUAUUAAUACUUAGCCCCCUGGGUAUGUACAGUGUACAAAACUAUUUGAUCAAACAUCUACAGAUCUACCCCGUCAACCAAAUCCCCAAGUUGGCUGAUUAGAUGUUUCUUGGAUGCAGGAAGUAGAUAUCUGGUCAUUUGGAUGUUUUUUAUUGGAGAUGCUUACGCUUGGCACGCCUUACCAGGGACUUCCUGACUCUGAAAUAUAUGAUAUGAUACUGGUAAGACCCCUUCAUAUCAGAAGCAAAUUGCUGUUUUUUAGUUGUUCUAGUGGUUACAUAUCAAUAUAUAACCAUCUUCCUAAUCCUGUCUCUUCAGAGGAAGAAACAGAGGCCAAGGCUAAGUCAGGAAUUAGAAGCAUUCUGGACAAUGGAUGAGCCAGCUACGAGGCUGAAGCUAGGGAUCACAUCUGAUGCUCAUGCAGAUAAGAUGAGACAUCUGGUAGAUCUCUUCUACCAGUGUACCAGAGGACAUGCAUCCAAGCGGCCCAAAGCUGAGCAAAUUUACAACUCACUGUGCUCCUUGCCCACAUGUUAUGACAUGAGGUGAACAUUUGGAUACUGUAUGAUGCGAAACUUGGUGGUGAAGUCGUGACCGACAUUGGGAAAGCACAGGGGAAGGUCAAGGCAGGUGGUAUCUGCAGGCAUGACAUCUGGCCAGUCUCAGGUUUGAUGCUCUAACCUGACCUUUUCAUUGCUCUCAGCGAGUUGGUCUUGAGGUGCAGCCUGGCAGAACACGAGAAGUGGGACCAAGGCUAGCGGCUUUGGUUGCCAGAGCUCCUCCCGAGUUAGCCAGAGCUCCUCCUGAGUUGGUCAGUUUUGUAGCGGCACGGCAUCUGGGUCCACUUGUAGUAGUUGUCAUCUGGUCAUGUGUGUAACCCCAUCCCCCCUUUUUCCCCUUUUCAUUGUUGCCAUCAUCACUUGAUGGGGGGUUUAAGUUAUCAAUUUAGGUCAUUGGUGCCCCAAGGCAUUUGUCUGCUAGACCGCUGCAUUGGCUUCUGUACGUGUAUUGUAUUAUUUAUUUUUAUUCUUUUAUUUAGAGAAAAAUUGAGUCAGUCGGCGACUGUCGUCCGUGUACUUGUAACAUUUGAUUGAUGACAUUUGAGUGUAUCUUAGCGAGGUUAUUUAUGCUGAUUUCACCAGCCUUUUUGUGCAUGAGAUGAGCUCCUCGGAAACCUGUAUCGUGUACCAUUCUCUCCAGUCAGAGACUGCCAAACAAUUUGACAGCCUGUGGUUCAUCGUCUUGUGUGCAGUAAUACGCGUGUCGUGAUAACAUUGCCACUGUUCGUCGUAUUUAAACCGUUGCCCUUGGCAUCUUCCAAAGGUAAACGCUUCCUUUGGAAGGUGCAUGUGCUGGGCUAUGCUGGAUCUCCUGCUGAUUCUUGUAGCAUGCUGCACGGAUCUGGUAGUAUUACUCUGGCCUAUCAACCUUGCUGCAUAUUUUUGUUUGGUUGGUUGAUUAUUUUUAAGCAACGCCACUCGGAUAUGUUUGACUAUCCCUGCAUGCGUCUCUGAACUGAAUGGACUAGCCUCUGCACUUGUACAGUAGCUCUACUUCCUCCAAAGAAACCGUUUUUAAAAGUCUGGGGGUUUUGGAUUCUCGAGACGGAAUUUGUUUGCGGGCGAGGACAGGGCGGGGGCGCGCAGUUAAUUCCCGCGGCGGCAGCGCAAGGCCACGUUCGCCUCUUCCGCGCGACGCGCCGCGCCGUGCAUGUGCUGCCCCCGCGUUUGACUCGGCGCCGAUUGGCAGUUCGCCGGCCUCGGAAUCGGAUCCCCUUUCGCGCCUCGCCGGGUCAGCGACAGGGCGCGGAUUUGUUUACGUACGGGCGCCACCUUGACCGGCAGCCGUCCCCAUGUGACCCCCAACCGGCCCGGUCUCUCAUCUCUGGCUCUCUGCCCGCCGAUCCGUCCGUCCGUCUAUAUAAGCUACGGCGGGGUGGCGGCCAUGUGGUGUGUUGAGCUGCCGCGCCAUGGGGGGCCAUAAGCGAGCUCUGUGCACGGCGGAUGGACCCGACCGGAGCCCGGAGGAAUGGUGUGAGUUGAGUGCCCAAGAGAAAGAGUGAAGCUGCCAGCAUGAUCUAACAACGGCAUUGCUCCUCCGUGUAGCGCCCUGUGCUUGCUUUUGCUUGUCUCCAUGGAGAAGACAGCGGCAAAGCUUAGCUUUGCUUCGCUUAGCUUGCUGGCUUUUCGUAUGGGCUGGCGGCGGGUUGCUGCGUGAAGCUUGCAAGUGAUGGUUAGAUCAUGCUGUGACAGUUUCACUCUUUCCCUUUGGGCACAUCGUCCAUCGGAAGUGCAGACACUCACAACCAACACGGCAAUCAGGUGCGCUGCCUCUCUCUCUCUCUCUCUCUCGCUCUCCCUCUGUCAAAUACUGCCAGUUGCCACUCUCUGCAAUCAGCAAGCUUGUGUACUUCUUUCAUCUACGAUUGUACUCUGCAACCAUGAAUGUUUCUUAACAGGGAAAAUGGCAAAGAUUAACCAAAGAUGCUUAGCGCUUGCAAUGAUGUUGCCACUCGUCUGAUCCCAUGAACCUACGUUAUUGCAAUGAUGUUUGUUGGCAUAUUGAUGGACUCUCGUAUGGUUUUUGGAGGGAUUUUUUUUUUCACAUAGGCAACAAAAAGGUUCUGCAUUCAAUUAUCCUUCACAGAGGAGUUGAGUACAACUCAACUGAUUUGGGAUGGGUGCAUCUCAACCACCCAGGUUUUUUUUUUUUUUUUUUUUUCAAUUUCAGCGGCGGCGGCUGCUGUUGAUUUGUUGUAAGAGAAGAACAAUGUUUCCUCGUUGAAAAGUAGUGCUGAUAAGUUCAAGUGAACAGUAGGUUAGAUCUUGUUUUUACUUUUUAUAAUUAUCAUUCAUGGUGUGACAGAGAGCUUCGUCACCUCCGCCAAGGGCAUGUUUGCUUUGACUCCAUGCAUCAUUGCCAAGCGCUACAGCUGCUCCGAGGCGUCCAAAAAUGUCCAAUUAUGAAUGCCUGGGGACAGGAUGCAUGCCUGGCUGCAAAUUUGGGAGGGCAAGCAAACAUGCCCCGACUGCUUUUGCUUCCCAAUCGCACACCUCAUGAAGUAUAGGAUCACAGAAACCAUAGGAUUAGAACUGAAUGUCACUUGUCCUAAAGAGAUUAACAAACUAGAUAAGCUUCUAAUAUAGGAGAAAGAACAAUACUGGAAUUAAAAGAGAGGUAGCCACAAAGGAGGUUGAAUCUCCCAGCCAAAAGAAUAUACGGAGUUAUGUAGGAUUUCACUAUUCGUUGUUCCAACUUCCAAAGGGCUGCACAUAUGAGUAUAUGACAGAUUCAUAUUAGAAUUCCGUUCUAAUCCUACAAAAUUCCUUCACGAAUCCGUCGUUCCAAAAGGAACCGAGCAAGCCUACAACCGCCAAACCACAUCGCGUGAUUUGUGUUUCUUGGACUACAGAGUGUCCACGACAAGUUUCAGCUUGCCGCUGCUUCACGAUGACUCCAGCUUAUUCUGCUUCAGAAACUCCAGGUCCUUGAGCUGCCGCUGCUGCACUUCCUUGGACACGGUCCUCCCGUCCCGCUUCCUCUCGCCGGAGGCCACCUGCUUGGCCAUGGACGCCACCAUCCUCUCCACCGCCGGCCUCCCGACGGAAGGGAAGACCGCGUUCAGGAUCGUCCGGAGCAGCUUCUCGUCCUCUUCCUCCACCAUGUCCUGCCCGAAGCAGCACACGUAGAUGGCUUCGAGCGCCUUCUCCGCCCGCGUUUCCAUCGGUAUCUGCGGUGCUGGAGCCUUCAGCUUCGCCCUUUUCUGCAUCAAUCAUCACACACAAUUCAUCUUCUCUGAUUCUAGCAUACGCCGUUGCAAUGCAGAUAGUAUAGAAUAAUAAUGUUAGAUCGUCACCAAGAUCAGAAAGCUCUUAACAUUACCUCCCUUGCCGCCCUCAUCAUGUCGAUGAACGUCUCCUCCUCGAACUCGAUAUCGUUGGAGAUGCGGAGACGCGCCACGCCUUCCAAGAUCUCCUCUGUUUUGAGCAGCCCGGCGCCAAUGGCGGCCAGCCAGCAGCAGAGCAGAACGUAGAAGGGAUCUCCUGGCUGCGGAACGACGCGACGAAAAUAUUUUAUCGUUCCAGUCAGAAGCUGUGCCUCAGCGGUGUACCAACCACUCAACCAGCAACUAUAGAAAGACAAUAACCAGAGCAGAGCAAAGGCGAAAGGUACCUUCCCGCGGCGCUGGUUGAAGUCGUAGAAGGCCUUGGAGUCCAUGACGGUGCACUUCUUGCUGACGCGGCGGCGGAACUCGGCGAAGUCGAUGAUGUCGCCGCCGACGCCGCCCUCGUCGCUGAGGAUGCGCGCGACGAGGCCCACGAUGGGGAGGGCGCCGAUGAGCCGCCCCGCGAUGGCCCCCGGCGAGUUGGGGUUCGGCUCCAUGUACGCCACCACGGCUCCGUACCGCCGGCGCCGGCCGUGAGCCGCGGGCCGGCGGUGGCACGGGAGCAACGGGGCCGUCAGAGCGAGCUUGUGGGCGACGGGUAGCGCCCUCAUGCCCGCGCGCCGAUGGGGUUUACGUGGGGGUGCUGGGACGCCUUGCGUACUCGCGGUGGCCGCGCCGUGGCGUGGCUUAUCUGCUCAUGGACGUCGAGCCUGUUUAGAGCUUGGAUUCUGGACUCUGAAACUCUGAAAGGAGGGCGGCGGCUGUGGCAACCGCGUCAGCCCUGCCGGCGUUCGUGCCUCACCGAGUGGCACUUUCCGGUGCCCGCGCCUCGAAUCGACGGGGUUGCGGUCUUGCCGACUGCCGAGCACCUCGCACCCUUGCCUCGCCGUCCGGCACCCUUGCGCGGACUGGGGAGUGACGAUGAAUGGGGAUAGGUGGGUCGAUAGGAUAGGACAGGGGUUGCUGAGACGGGAUUGAGUUGAUGAUAAACGCAGGCUAACUGGACUUGGGCUGCAUUCUUGUUGAUGGGCUACAACACAAGUGGUUUGUGUUAGUCCUCUCCUCGAUUUUGGGGCGCAUUUCAGCUCAGCCGCUAAAAAUUGCUGAUUCGAUUUUAAAUCCAUUAUACCUCCUAAACUCGUCGAAGUCUAGUUUUUCUUUCUAAACUCCAAAACCAAAUCAACUGACCGUUUGUUUUACCUCUCUGUCCCGGUUAUAGGUGGUUUUCAAUGGCAGUUUUUCUUUUUUUUAUUUGUUUUGGUGAAAUCUUUAAAAAAAUCAUAGUAAAUUCUAGAAAACACCAUAAAAUAGAUAAUCUAAUUUUAUUAGACUCCACAUGGGUAUAUAUACACAGUAAUCAUAUAAUAUGGUAUGCUUUAGUAUAAAGUUUUAUUGUAGUUCUAGAUAUAUGCUUUUUUGUAAUUAAUUCAUAGUUGUAGUUUCUAUGGUCUAAUUGUGAUGAAAAGUUUAUGACGGUAUUAUUAUAUGAUUAAGUAGUAGUAAAAAAAUGUAUACUCAUUUCUAUUUUUACACACUUUUAACUAUUUAAAAAUAUUUAACAAGCAUAAAAUUUAAUAAAUCUAUAACUUAGUUAUAUAUAAUCCAAUGAGCAUGAAAUUUUUACUACAGUUCAAUCAUAAAAUAAUUAGCCAACAAUAAAAAAAAUUCACCACAAUUGGACCAUAGAAAUUGUAUCUAUGAAUUAAAUAUAGAAAAGUAUAAAUCCAAAGGUACAACAAAAAAAAUCUCUAUUAAAGCAUAAGAUAUUAUGUGUUCAUUUGUAGAUCUAUUCAUUGAGUCCAACAAUUUUUUUUAAUUUUUUAUAUAAUUUAUUAUGAUUUUUUUAAAAAAUUGCUCGAAGUAAAUAAAAAAGAAAAAACAAAGACACCUUUGAAAACCACCUAUAAGCGGGCCAGGGAGGCAAAAUGAACGUUGAACAGUUUUCUUAGUUGAGGGAGAUAGUUUAUCUGGUUUUAGGCUUAUGAAAGAAAAGGUAGAUUUGAGGAUAAUUGAAGAAGGUAAAACGAACCCAUGUUACUUUGCUGGUCUGAAAAAUCAUAGUUAAAAAUAUUAUUCACUAAUUUAUUGUGAGAGAAAAAAAACUAUUAGCUGAUAAAAAAAAAUAUAGCUCAAAAGACAAUCGAACUGGCUGAGCCAAGUGAGCGGCGAAGGCCGAGCGCCCCAGCCAUCCAAUCCAAAUAUCCUAUUCCAAUUUCCGAAGAUGAGAGCUGUGCACCCGCGGCGGCUUUCCCUUACGAUACGGCCUCCCUCUCCUCGUCGUUCGAAUGAUUCUCUUCGCGUUGGGUCUUGUUUAGUUCACAAGACCAAAACUAAAAAUUGCUCGUCCUCAGCUUCCCUUGUUCGUCUCAUCCGGUCAUCCCCCCGCCCCGCCCCGCGACCGCUCGCGCGUGGUUCGCGUGCAUGCGUGCCCGCGGCGGCCUGCUUUGUCUCGUUUUCUCGCGCGGUGGCCAGUCCACGUCCACGCGACCCGUCAUCCUCGCCACUGAUUACAAUCAUGCAUAUCGGCGAUUGAUUGCCAUACAUACAUAUACGUAUGCGCGGGCCUAAACGCAUUUUGCGUGCGUGCGAGUGCGAGUGCCACGUCACGCGGCCACUUCAUCAGUGUUAAUUAAGGUGGUGGUGGACUUGUGAUGGAGUAUAACGACCGGCAAAACGCCUUAGCUCGAUGUUCUGAAUUCAAAUCCUUCUUCUGGUUACUAUUCGAUCCACAAAUUUUAAGAAUAAAUUUAUUAAAAAAUAUAUUUAGCAGUCGAUACUAAUCAUAUAUUAUAAAUAUUUAUAUUUUUUAUAUAGAAUUGGUCCUUUUUUUUAAAAAAAAAAAGUUAAUUUCUCAGAAAACGAGAGUAACUUAUAUUUCAUCGUUAGACGUCAGGAUACAGUUUCUGACUCAUAGUCUCGUACUGCCACGCCUCUGCCCUCUAUCAACCAAUUGCAAGGUUCCUUAUUAAAACAAGAAUUGCAAGGUGAUAUUAUAUCGAAAUUUUGCUUAAAAAUUAUAAACAAUUGACCCGUCAACGAAGCAUAUCUAAGGCUUAGGCAUAUCAUUGUCUGAGCGACUCCAGUGCAACAGGAGAUCGUUUAAGAGAGUGUUUGUGUGUGUCGACGUCUAGACUCGUCGUCUAGACGGUAACGAGUAAUAAGUCUGCGUGUCCUCCUAAACCCGAAUGGUGAUACAAGGGGAACACAGGGAGUUAUACUGGUUUGGGCUAAGAGUGCUCUACGUCCAGUGUGAGAGUCGGAGUCUGUAUUGCCUUGCACCCGAGAGUGCUUGUAGUAGGAGCGUACAAGCUGGUUGCGAGAGAGGGCUAAGUCUCAAGUCUCGGCUUUCGAGGAGUGGACGGAGUAGUGCUCGUUACUCUAGAGUGAGCACUAUCUGGAGUUUGAGUGUAUGUCGUAGUCUGGUCUGGUGUUCUCGUGGUCCUUCUUUGAAGUGUGCCAUGCCUCCCCUUUUAUAGCCGGACACAAGGCUUUUACAUGUGUUGACUGGUAAUCUACCCCUAGUAAAUGGUGAAAUAACAGUGCCGACCCUGUGAGAGCUUGCCCAUCUCGUCCUUGGGGUAUGGCUGACGGUGUGGCUGCUCCUGUGGAGGAUUGCCGAGCCCUGUUGAGGUCGUGGUGGUCGGGUCGGUGACACUGUCGCACGUCCUGCAAUAGUAGGGAAAAGACAGCCACAGUGACAAGGGUUAACUCCUUCCAUAUCCUCUUUUACUGUGAGGUGGUACUUCACAGUGAAAGAGGUAAGGCUACACCGUGGUUGGAGUGGUUGGAAUAGUUGUCGCCGUGCCCUGCUGCGGCAUAGGGAUUAUGGCGAGUGUCACAUCGGAGGUACGGCCGUCGUGAGUUGGAAGCCCGACUCUGAGAUGGAGGCUCGGGCGAGGCGGUGUUUGCGCCCGAGCCCAAGAGGGGUCGGGCGAGACGGAGCUUGCGCCCGAGGCCAAGGGGUCGGACGAGCUUGCGCUCGAGACCAAGGGGUCGGGCGAGACGGAGCUUGUGCUCGAGCCCCAAGACGUUUUGAGCGUUUGCUUUAUUCCUUUUUGUGAUUUUUAUUCACUUGAUUUGGUUAUCUCGUUUUAUGGUACCUAACAGUGUGGAGUUGUUAAAGUUUAAUAAAUAUUUUUUUUUGAAUAAAAGGUUUCCCCUACUUUAUUACCAUAAAGCGAUUCACAUCAGGCAAAGGUCCUAGUCUAUACACACACAGCACAACUGCAGCCACAAGGCUAAAACUGAGCAGCGAACAAAACACAAAGCCCAGACAAACUACGCCCUAUUACAUGGUAUAAUGAUCGCACUUGCCGAAUCCUCUAAAACUUGAGCAUUUGAUUGUACCGACACUAAUGAAUCCAUCCACUUGAUCAUUGGUGCUAAGCCAGCUUCUACCUCCACUAACUGAAUUACCCUCUCCAACUUCUCCUGGACUUACAUCUUGAGCAUUGGCAACCAUACUCUUAGGCCUUGCUAAAAUUCCACGUCACAUCGAAUCUUUAUACGCAUAUAUAAAGUAUUAAAUAUAGACGAAAAUAAAAACUAAUUGCACAAUUUGGUCGAAAUUGACGAGACAAAUCUUUUGAGCCUAGUUAGUCUAUAAUUAGACAAUAAUUAACACAAACAAACGAAAAGUGCUACAGUGUCGCGAAAUUUUUUCCUUCCGGAACUAAACAAGGCCUUAGCAUCCUCCCAAUCAUUGCAAAAACUUUCCCCAUUCCACUCCACGGCAUCCUCUGAAAACAUAACAAAUUACGUAAUUUUCACAAAACCCAGAGAACAGCAGAAGACACAAUAUUACAAAUCAUACAUCUCUGGUUAGCAAUCCACAAGGAGGCUACGGAUUCAAAACCAUCCUCUAACCUCCUAUCCAACCAGAACGUAAAAGUAGCCCAAACAUGUUUAGCCACACAACAAUGGAAGAACAAAUGAGAAAUUGACUAUCGAUCAUUACAAAACAUAAAGUUUAAUAAAUAUUAUAGCAUUUUUGUUUUAUUUGACAAUUAAUGUUCAAUUAUAAAUUAAUUAGAUUUAAAAAUUUCGUCUCGUAAAUUACUCUCUAGCUAUGUUUUUAAUUUCAUAAAUUAUAUAUAUUUAUUAUUUUAUAUAUGUGUCUAAAUAUUCGAUGUGACGGACGCAAUCAAACGGCGCUGCAGGUCUGCACCCCGUGACGUGGUCGAGAGAGGAACUGGUUCCGAGUCCAUGUACCGUACCGGCUCCAACGUCUUCUCAAGGUAUCAGCAGGUAUCUGCUGCAACCUGCAAACGAUGGGCCUGAGCUCCAGGACAAGCGGUUGUUACAGAGAAUCUGCUUUAUUGAGGUCUUGUUUAGUUGUAGAAUUUUUUUAAAUUUUAAUAUUAUAAUAUUUUUGUUUUUAUUUGAUAAAUAUUGUCUUAUUAUAGAGUAAUUAGGUUUAAAAGAUUUAUCUCGUGAUUUACAGACAAACUGUGUAAUUAGUUUUUGUUUUUAUCUAUAUUUAAUACUUCAUGUAUGUACCAUAAGAUUCGAUGUGACAGAAAUUUUUAAAAAAAAAUUAAAAUUUUGGUGGGAACUAAACUAGGCCUGAACCUCCCUUGUAGCCGCGGAUGCUCUGGCUCCAAAGAAGAGGCUCCACCUUCGGUUUUUUUUUUCCUAAAAAAACGUCUCUUCUUCGUUAGAGCACACUGCACACGAGAGCUAAAGGAUAAGUUAAAGCACAUGAGAGUUUAGUAAUCUAGAGCUAAGCAUAUCAACUAAUCUAAACUAAUCUACAAAUGUAAAAAUGUCAUACAAAACAUACACAAAGUGGAAGUAAUAAAUAUGAUAAGUAUUUAGACACAAUGUAUAUUCAAGUACAUAGAAAAAAAUUAUGUAUCUAUUUAGAAAAAAAAAACAAAAUGUCUUAUAAUCUGUAGUGGAGUGACUAUAUGAUUGCACAUAUAUCUCUUAUAUGGUCCAAAGAUGUACUCCCUCUGUCACAGCGGCGGAGCCAAGACUCAGUCACCUUGGGCUGAAUCCAGAGCUUUGCUGGCUCCCUAGUAGCCCUAAAUGCUCGAAAGGCUUAGUGACACCUAGCUAUGUACACAAAUGAGGCAGCGAGGGAGCUUCUCCGAUCCUAUAACUUACUCCAUCCGUCCCAUUAAAAGUGAUGUUUUGGACUCCGUACUAUCUUGUUGAUCAUUCGUCUUAUUCAAAAUUUUUGUAUAAGGACAGUCUCAAUGGACAAUGUCACUGCACGGUUUCACAUACCAACACGUCAUCGAGAUUGAAAUGAAACCAUCUUUGAAAUAACCCUAACAAUCGAGCAUUUCACUUUGUUAUUUCCAAGGCUAAGCAAAAUAUUUAAUUGCUGCAAAAUGAUUGGAUCAUAUGCAAGAUGGUGAAACGAAUUCACCCUCAGUGGGGAUUUCAUCCCGUGGGAAACAACGCCCGUGGAGUUAUGGUGAAACUACUUCCUUCUUUCAUGCAAAAAGUGCAGUUUUGCUGACAUGAUGGUCUAAUAAAUGUGCAUGACAUCCUGGUGAAACCCUCACUGAGACUGGCCUAAAUAUUAGUUGUUUUCUUAUAACUUAUUUUAUUAUUAGAGAUACUUUAAUAAUAAUUUAUUUAUUUUAUAUUUUAUAAAAAAAAGACGAAUGAUAAAAAACGAUAUCCAAAAGUAAAAAAUGACACUUUUAAUGGAACUGGGGAGUAGUGAUUAUUUUAGUUUAGGAUUAAAACUAUUGUGGUUGUCUAAGUUUCUUUGUAUGCUAUAUAUAAUUAGUAUGGUGUUCUAAUUUAUUUAUUAUAUAUUUGUCUAGCCUUGCUAUUAUUAGUAUGGUGUUAUGUGUGGCAAAGGCUCCACAAAAAAUCCAGGCUCCAAAACUACUCUAUUGUAAAUACUCCCUCGUUUCCUUGUUGAAAGGUCCUUGUUUGGUUUUGGUAAUUGAGUGACAACUUAGGUGGACUAAUAGUGUUUAUGUGAGAUACACAGGAGAUUAGUCCACAGGUGAUGAUGUGAUGAUGAAGGAACUCAUUGCACAUGAGACAUGACAUGGAGUCAUGUGACCAAGGUGGAGAAGAUCAAGAUGAGGCUUGGCUCAAUGGACCGGUUGCAAGAGUGAAGGGCAAGUCGGAGGCUUUCAAGCGAGGGACCGCGUGUGACGGUGAAGCUUGAGCAAGACUUGGCGCCGAUGGACCGAGGCAACGGUGAAGAGCAAGUGAGGUCAAGAUCAAUGAACCAAUACAGUCAUGUGAUGAUAUGAAGUGGAUCAUAUCAUUUGGUGAUUGGUUGGUGCAUGUGUUGCAUCAACAUUGGAGGAGAUGGAAUAGAAAGCGCAAGGCAAAGGUAUAACCUAGGGCUUUUUCAUUUCACCGGUCAUAGGUGUGUAGAGAAGUUUAUGACCAGAUUUAGGAUAGAUGGCCGUACUAUCAAGAGGGGCAAACUUGUUUGCAUAUCGGUCAUCUAGUGCCACUUGAGCGAUCUAACUUUGCAUACAUGUUAGGAUCGAGUGGCGUGGCAAGUUUGAGAGGCUAACUCCUUUGGGAAAAUGUUUGUGAAAAUGCUAACACACUUGCACAUGGUGGCGUACACUUGUUGGUGUUGGCACACUUUACAAAGGAGGUGGAGUUCCUAGGGUUGAGAGGGGUGUGGGUUUUGAGAAAAAUUAAGUGCAUAUUUUCUAUUGCGCCGGUGGGAAAUUUAGAGAAGUCGCGGAAACACUCACCGAACGCUCUGCGCAGAGGCACCGGACGCUGGCCUUUAGCGUCCGGUGUGCUGUCGGGUGUAGCAGAGUGCACCGAACGCACCGGGGUGAGUCCGGUGCUCAGCGUCCGGUGUGCGGGUGGUUUGGCGACCCUCUCUGCGCAUGAGUCCGGUGAGCACCGGACGCUCAGGGUGUGUCCGGUGGCUAGCGUCCGGUGACCGUGCAAGUUUGCGGAGCUCUCUGCGCACGAGUCCGGUGUGCACCGGACGCGUCCGGUGUGACGCAGUAGAGCGUCCGGUGGUGCUGUGCAGGCAUGCGUACGUAGUAGCCAUUGGCGGCAACGGUCAAGUUCAAACGGCUAGUGACACGUGGCGGUCAGCUGAGCACCGGACGCUGGAGGUUGAGCGUCCGGUGGCUCCCUGUGAGCGUCCGGUGCCCACGUAUUUUGUCCAGUAAAGGGGCAACGGCUAGUUUAGCCCUUGGGGCUAUAAUUAGAAGUGGUGGCCGGUCUUGGCCGGCGUUGAGUACCCUUGGGACUUAGUGUCCAUGCUUGGGGAGUGCUAGGAAAGCCUCUAACUCACUUGUGCUUGCAAGAGUGUGAAUCUAUAGCGAGUGAGUGAUUCUAGUGCGUUGCAUUGAGAGAUUGCAUCGAGUGGCACUAGGUGUUCGUGUUGCAAGCCGGUGGUGCUUGUUACACUUGGAGGUUUCCACCUCCUAGACGGCUUGGUGGCUUGUGACUCCGUCGAAGCACGCAAGGAGAUUGUGCGGUGCUCCAGAGAAGAGAUUGUGAGGGGUACGGUGCUCACCCCGCGGGGAUCGCGAAGAGCAACUCUAGUUGAGCGAGACGUGAAGAGCGACGAGUGGUCCGGUCGAGUCAAGUGCUAGAGCUUGUGGUAAGCACUCCACAUGGGAGAGUGUGACUUGCGGGUCACCACUAGUAAGAGGACCGGCGGCAACCUUGGAGCUUGUCUCAACGGGGACGUAGCUUAGUGGGAACCAAGUGAACCUCGGGAGAAAAUCAUCGUGUCAACAUUUGUUCUUUCCGUUGGUUUGCAAGUCCCUAACACAAGUUUGUUCUUACAUUCAUAUACUUGUGCUUGUGCAGUUGCUUUUGUAAUUAGUUAGCUUGUGUAGCUUUCUAGUUACCUUCUUGCUUGUGUAGCUAGAAGUAGUUCCCUUGCGUGACUAAUUUGGUUUGUGUAACCUUGUUAGUCACAUUGCUUAGUUUGUGUAGCUAAGUAAGUUGCGCUCUCUAAUUUAGCAUUGGUUGCCUUGUUAUUGAGCAUUGCUAGUGAGCUUAGGAGCUUUGUGCUUUUGCUUACUAGUUGUGUAGGAGCUCCUCGGUUUGCAAAGUACUAGUGGCAUAGGUUUGUGUGACCUUGCUUCUAGAAUUGGUUAGGUGAGCUCUUGCUAAGUGAAAGGUCCUUGUUUGGUUUUGGUAAUUGAGUGACAACUUAGGUGGACUAAUAGUGUUUAUGUGAGAUACACAGGAGAUUAGUCCACGGGUGAUGAUGUGAUGAUGGAGGAGCUCAUUGCAUAUGAGACAUGACAUGGAGUCAUGUGACCAAGGUGGAGAAGAUCAAGAUGAGGCUUGGCUUGAUGGACCGGUUGCAAGAGUGAAGGGCAAGUCGGAGGCUUUGAAGCGAGGGACCGCGUGUGACGGUGAAGCUUGAGCAAGACUUGGUGCCGAUGGACCGAGGCAACGGUGAAGAGCAAGUGAGGUCAAGAUCGAUGAACCAAUACGGUCACGUGAUGAUAUGAAAUGGAUCAUAUCAUUUGGUGAUUGGUUGGUGCAUGUGUUGCAUCAACAUUGGAGGAGAUGGAAUGGAAAGCGCAAGGUAAAGGUAUAACCUAGGGCAUUUCUAUUUCACCGGUCAUAGGUGUGUAGAGAAGUUUAUGACCGGAUUUAGGAUAGAUGGCCGUACUAUCAAGAGGGGCAAACUUGUUUGCAUAUCGGUCAUCUAGUGCCACUUGAGCGAUUUAACUUUGCAUACGUGUUAGGAUCGAGUGGCGUGGCAAGUUUGAGAAACUAACUCCUUUGAGAAAAUGUUUGUGAAAAUGCUAACACACUUGCACAUGGUGGUGUACACUUAGUGGUGUUAGCACAUUUACAAAGGAGGUGGAGUUCCUAGGGUUGAGAGGGGUUUGGGUUUCUCUCUCCCUCCCGCCGAGCUUGCUCGGCGGGAUUCGGCGCUUUUGAGAAAAUUAAGUGCAUAUUUUCUAUUGCGCCGGUGGGAAUUUUGGAGAAGUCACGGGCUGAGAAACACUCACCGGACGCUGGUGUUGGCAGCACCGGACGCUAGUCCAGAGCGUCCGGUGUGGUGUCUUUGACUCAGUGAGCAGAGCGCACCGGACGCUGGCACCGGACGCUGGGCGGUUACUGUUCGAGCGUCCGGCGGUGCGUGACGUCACCAAGAGCGCGCGAGGAGUUUCUGACCGGUGAGCACCGGACGCUUAGGGUGCGUCCGGUGGCUUGCAUCCGGUGACCGUGCGAGUUUGCAGAGCUCUCUGCGCACGAGUCCGGUGAGCACCACACGCGUCCGGUGUGACGCAGUAGAGCGUCCGGUGGUGCUGUGCAGGCGCGCGUGCGAUGUAGCCGUUGGCGGCAACGGUCGACUUCAAACGGCUAGUGACGCGUGGCAGUCAGCUGAGCACCGGAUGGUGGGGGUUGAGCGUCCGGUGGCUUCUUGGGAUCGUCCGGUGCCCACGUGUUUUGCCCAGUGAAGGGGCAACGGCUAGUUUAGCCCUUGGGGCUAUAAAUAGAAGUGGUGGCCUGCCUUGGCUGGUGCUGAGCACUCUUGGGACUGAGUGUCCAUGCUUGGGGAGUGCUAGUGAAGCCUCUAACUCACAUAUGCUUGAUAGUGAUCAUCCGAUUGUGUGAGUGAGCGAUUCUAGUGCGUUGCAUUGAGAGAUUGCAUCGAGUGGCACUAGGUGUUCGUGUUGCAAGCCGGUGGUGCUUGUUACUCUUGGAGGUUGCCACCUCCUAGACGGCUUGGUGGCUUGUGACUCCGUCGAAGCACGCAAGGAGAUUGUGCGGUGCUCCGGAGAAGAGAUUGUGAGGGAUACGGUGCUCACCCCGCGGGGAUCGCGAAGAGCAACUCUAGUGGAUUGCUUGUGGCUUGGAGGAUCCCCAUCUUGAGAGUGGAUGUGCGGCACCCGCUGAGGGUUUGGCUUUGGAAUGGCAAUUAGCUCGUGAUCCAUCAAGUGGGUGUAUCGCCACAACGAGGACGUAGCUUGGUGGCAACCAAGUGAACCUCGGUAAAAAUCACCGUGUCAACGUUGUCUACUCUUCUCGUGGUUUGCAUUCGCUAUACACGAGCUUGUAUUUACUUUCUUUAUAUACUUAUGCUUGUGUAGUUGCUUUUGUAAUUAGUUAAGCUUGUGUAGCUUGCUAGUUACCUUCUUGCUUGUGUAGCUAGAAGUAGUUCCCUUGCGUGACUAAUUUGGUUUGUGUAACCUUGUUAGUCACAUUGCUUAGUUUGUGUAGCUAAGUAAGUUGCGCUCUCUAAUUUGGCAUUAGUUGCCUUGUUAUUGAGCUUGCUAGUGAGCUUAGGCUUUGUGCGCUUUGCCUCACUAGUUUGAGUAGGAGCUCCCCCAGUUUGCAAAGUACUAGUUGCAUAGGUUUGUGUGACCUUGCUCCUAGAAUUGUGGUUAGGUGAGCUCUUGCUAAGGUAGCACCUUGUUUGCUUGUUUAGGAUCUUUUCAAGGUGCUAGAGAACUUAGAUAGAGGGGUGUAGUCUUGGCUAGACCGAUAGUUUUAAUUCCGCAUUUGUUUCGGUUAGCCGGCGUGUUAAAGUUUUAGAAAGGACUAUUCACCCCCCCUCUAGUCCGUCAUCUCGACCCUUCACUAAGGUAGCACCUUGUUUGCUUGUUUAGGAUCUUUUACAAAGUGCUAGAGAACUUAGAUAGAGGGGUGUAGUCUUAGCUAGACCGAUAGUUUUAAUUCCGCAUUUGUUUCGGUUAGCCGGCGUAAUAAAUUUUAGAAAUGACUAUUCACCCCCCCUCUAGUCCGCCAUCUCGACCCUUCACUUGUGAGCCACUGAAAAAAUUCAACAGACUUCAGCGCCACUAAUUCAAUUUUUUUGCCCUCCAGACCACCGCCAUUAGAUUAGGCUCUAAUAGUGUCAAACCGUGGUUGUGAAAAGUCAAAAGUAUCUUUAGGUGUAAAUAUGUUAUUAAUUUUUUUUAGCAUCUUAAUGACUUUAAAUGGAAAAACUUAAAAUUAAAAA